CUUAAGCAAAUGCAUCCAACUAGAUCGUCCUUGUGCUGAAUAAUUGGAUAUCGUAUCCACUUAAAGCUGCCUUGUGUAGUACGUCUUUGUGUCUCUCUUUAUAUUCCAAUAAGGUCGGUGAUCUUGAUGCCACACACUCAGAUGUGUGUUCAUCUCCAGAUACUACUCCAUGCUACCUGCCCUUUGUGUUUUGUUCAAUAACUGGGUAUCAUAUCCCAGCCAGUAUGCCGUCUGUUUUGUGUUUGUUUCCUUCUAGUUCCAAAGGGGUCAUCAUGAUGUUACCUUCUUUCAAUAUGGUGCUUUGCAUGACUACUGUUGUAUGGUACCAUCUUGUGGCCAAUAAGUACAUCUUAUCCUAUGACCUUUGCUAUGACCCUUUGCAAAUAAGUAGAAGAUUGUUAUAAGCGUCAAUACUCCGUAUAAAUUGAUCGCUGCUGUGAGUUCCCUUUCAGCUUAUCGUAGGCAUACAUUAUUGCUAGCACGGUAAAGCCAACCAACACGAAUGAUGAAGUAAACGUAGCGGUACUUCUGUAUACCAACACCCUUACUUAAAUGUACCGGUGUCAUUCCCUACUGGCACAUAUAUUCUUAUAUGCUAGCCAGCUUGUAAAAUUAACCAAUUAAAAUAAUUAUUUCAAGAUAGAAAUAACUUAUCGGUUUCUGGAAGCAUGUGUAAUGUGAAUUCAAGGACUCGACGGAAGUUGAAUCACUUCAUCUAUAUUGCUUUCAGUAUUUUGGGUAACUAAAUUUAACAUUUGCACAUACAAAUGUUAAAGUACAAAUGUUAAAUCUAGUUACCCAAGCAGAAUAUGAAGAUAGUUUAUAGUAUAUAUAUACUAUAUAAAUCUAGUUAACAUUUAGUCUAAAUGUUAAAUCUAGUUACCUAAAAUCCUGAAAGCAAAAUGUAUAAAUAUAUAUCUUUUAAGGCAGUAUAAGCUUCGAUUCCUAUUGCUGCUCUGUUAAAUCUCAUCUUUCGUUGUGGCCCAACACUCUAGUAUGCAUGUUGCACCAAGCUUCUUUGAGCCGCUCUGCCCUCUGAUUUUGCUGCGUAGGGGAAUCUUUAUCAGGUUGGGCUACUUCCAGUUGUGCGAUGUAAAGAUUCGUAUUUUCUAGAAGGUAGACAAAAAACUCGCGUUCUCUUAAGGCAACAACCGGAAGAUUCUGCAGCGCACAGGGCAUACCAUUAUUGUAGAAACGACCUUUAGUACCGAUCUCCAACCCCCUUUAAAACUGGUUUUGCAACCGGUACCGUUAUGUCGGUCCUUUAGUACCAGAUCAAAUAAGUACCGGUUGGUAACCAGUAUCAACUUGUUUUGCGGCCAAAAAAAUAAAGAAAAAAACAGUCAGAAGGCUCGCGCACACGCGCAUCACAUGAAAUAUGCGUGUGCGGGGUCCAUGGGAUUCGAACCCAUGAAAUCAAGCUGCGCGCGACCCUUCGUUACCAUCUCACCUACAUAGCGCAUAUGCUUUCCUGAAGUAACCCGUGGAGGAGGCUUUAGUACCGGGUCAUAACACCACCCGGUACUAAAAAUGACUCUUCAGUACCGGGUCAUAACACCACCCGAUACUAGUAUCGGAUGGUGUAAUGACCCGAUACUAAAAGGCCUCUAGGGACCCUCAAAUUUGAACCCGGUACUAAUGCUAAUAUUAGUAGCGGGUCAAAGUGCAGCCAGAACUAAAGCAUGGGAUGAAAGGUCAUAUUUCUAGUAGUGUAUAGUUGUUGUGAAGGACUGACUUGGCUGUCCUCUCUCUUCUCCAUCCCCUUGGUCUUACGCCGCCGCUCGCACGCGAGCCGGUGCCCAACCAGAGGAGUGAGAGCUAGGGGCAGGUUGGGAGGUGGGGAUAGUGACUGGUGGCCAGGGUGAUGGUUGAUCCUGGUGGGGUUAGGGUUUUAGGGUUUUCGAGCUUCCUAUGGUCGGCGAACCUAGAGGAGGAGCUCAACAUCAGCUGCAACCCGCGAUGGUGGUGGUUUGGCCGGCGCCCGAGGCGAGGCAGCGCGGGAGUGCUGCCGGUGGGUUGGUGUUGGCACUCAUUAUUGACAACUAUUUUGUUCAUAAAAUAACACUCAAACUUGCUGCUGCUGCUGCUGCUGCCAUCGCCACCCUAGCCAUAAUAUAAAGGCAAAAUUUGCUAAAGGACAUGCAAAAUGAUGCUAGUUUGCUGGCGGGCAUCGUUGACCUUGUAAUAUGCUACAAGACACUCUAGUUGUGUAUCAAUUUGCUGAAAGACAUUGCUAUGACUAAAAUAAUGUUUCUGGACUGAGUUGGAGAGAGAGAUGGAGUGAAAUGUCUGUUUUGCCCAUGACCCCACUGGUCAGAUCCUUCUUCUUCCACCCUCCUUUGUUCUUUCUUCAACCAUUACCCAGCUCCAGCGUGUUGCAGAUCUACGAGGGUGGCGGCCUGGGGCGAGGGGCAUCGCUCGCCCUUGGAGGAGCGCUGCGAGCGACGGCGCGGGGGCGGCAACAGCGCGUCAGAACCUGACUGUUCGUUAGCUCCUCUCGCUGCUGGGGAAGGAGGGGGAUGGGCCAUGGACGGGGUUCCCUUGAAAACCUCAGCGUCGAGCUCGGGCGGCUACGCGCAGGCAGCACUAGGCUGCUUCACGGGGAGGGGGCGCGGCCAAUCAUUGGCACCCCACUGGUCCAAUGCUGAUGAAGAUGGUGCCAGCGUCGUGUGAGGACAUCUCAUCUCCUCGAGUUCCAUGGCCAGCACAGGUGAGCUGCCGCUACCACAAAACAGAGGUUUCGUGAGAGUCAAAAAACCUUAUGAAAAUAGCUAAAACCAUCAUGAAAAUAAUCCGUGACAUGACACUCUCACGAAAAUCCUCUCACAAAUAUGGUGCCAUGAAAAUACCAUUUUCAUGAGAGUGAACUGUCAUGAUUUUAUUUCGUGAGAGUAUUUCCUAUCAAUGACCUCCACGAAAUACUUUGUGCCACCAGGUCUUCAAGAUCAUUUUCAUGAGAGCUGAACAUCAGGAAAAGUCCGCCACAAAUGUUUUUCUUGGAGCCCCUAACUCUCAUGAAAAUCAUGCGGGCCGCCACGAAAAACAGCAUGACCAAAUGACAAAUUUCAUUUUCAUGUGUUCAUACCGCCAUGAAAAUGGUCAUUUUCAUGAGAGUUGAUGAAACAAAAAAUAGUGCCAUUUUCAUGAGAGUUCAAGCAACCAGGAAAAGACACUAAUAAACAUCCAGAUCCCAUCCAGCACACAUCCAUGCACAUAUAUAACCCACAUAUUGCUCCAGCACACAUCCAUGCAUAUACAAGAUCCAAAUGUUAAUAUAGUAGACAUCCAUGCCUGAACUAGUCUGCCACACAAGUCAUUGAUGCUACAAAUCCUACAAUCGCAGCAUGUGCAUACAAGUCACAGAAUGAGACAAUGUACCCAAAACUAAAAGGUUAGCAUCAACUGUGCUUCAACCAAAGUUGUCAUCCCAACUCUCCUCUUCAUCCAUGCCAUUCUUGUCGUGGCCGUCACUGUCAGUCCCCAUGGCAUUGCCAAUGCUGUGCAUGUCUUGGUAGGAACCUACAUGUGAUGAACUAGUAACCUGCAAAAAGAGCUCAAAGGAUCUUGUUCUCAUAUUGUAGCUGUGAAAUUCUUACAAGUAGUGUUGCAAUCAGUUCACUUUGAACCAAAAGAGCUCAAAGGAUCUUGUCCUAAAAGUUCCUCAUAAAGCUUAUGGGUUUGCUGGUGGAACUGGAAGGGCUUGAUGCAGCAGAUGCCAUUCUGCAAUAGAGAAAAAUUUAGAGAGCAGUACUAGUUAAAAUUGGAUGCAGAAGAUACACAUGAAACUAGUAUUUAUACAAGUCUAUACAAUUAAAAUCUAAGGAGACUUAUCAUCGUUUUCAUGUGUUGUGAAUUAAAAUAAUGAAGGAUACACUGUUAGGUGAAAAUUCAAGAAACAAAAUUUUGCAUAGAGAUAAAGGUCCAACAUUAUUACAAGUUAAGGUAGUUUUAAAUAUCCUUGUAAUCUUCCUUUGGUUUCCUCAACGAUUCGAAGACAAUAACCUUGCUUCUAUCAAUGAUAAUUAUAAGGAGAAUCCAGUGGAAACUGUGUAUUCGUAUUAGAACUACCUAAGGUUAAUUAGGUUAGGAAAGGAAAUUGAAAAUAGAUGGUACCCACACUUACUUAAAGUUGUCGGGCAAUAGUAUGUAAUGCUUGUAAUUCCGUUGCUCCAAGAAUUUGUAUAUGUGGUCCAAUGUAGACUUUGGUUGAUCCCGUAUCUGCUGUUGGUUAAAUAAGUGUUUCUAGCCAUUUCUAGCCAUUAGAACCGGGACUAAAGGGGGCUCUUUAGUACGGGUUGAUAUUACUAACCGGGAUUAAAGAGCCCCCAUUAGAGUUGGUUUUUGGAUGCGGAACUAACAACUCCUUUAGUCCUGAGUACGAAAACAACUGACAUAUUUGUUGCUGGAUGGAAGGUCCUUUCUCUACCGUGAAUAUUGCCAGAAAGAAUUGAAAGAGACUGCUUGCUAAAAAUAUGUCAUAGAUGUAGACCAAGCUACCAAGGAGGUAGACCAAACAUGAUACACACCAUGCGUACCUUGCUGUGCAGACUAUGCAUUGACAAGAUACCCGACCACAUGUUGGCCUCGGUCACAUCAAAAGAAUCAUGUAGGCCACCAAUAAACUACUUGAAGCGGCAUUCCGUAUCGUAUAUGCAUUGCCGGUUCAUCUGCAUUACAUUACAUAAAGCACUAUUAACUAUUUGAAUAAAAUGAACCAAUUUAAAAGUAAUGUGUUGUACUCUACUAUAGAAAGCCCUAUCACUGCCGGAUCCAAAAACAUCAUUGUUAAUGGUGGUUAAGUACCAAAUAUGACGGUCAAUAUUCUCAAGAAUAAUGGAGAAUUAGCAUUUCUUAGACACAUAUUUGGUUUUGAACAAUGUAGUUCCACAUGUCUUUGGAGAUUAUUUGGGUGUGGGUGAAAUAAUACAAAAAUAAGGAGAAAACACACUCCCAUGGCGAAGAAACACAACUCCAACCAAUGAGAGAUAGCCACAGGGGCAGCACACGGAUCCAUGGGCCCACUAACCGCAUCAAACCAUCUUACCAAGGCAGGUAGCACCCACAACCGUCAUUAGGACCCACCUGGAAGUCUACCAAGAAGAAGGUUGCGAGUGGGGCCAGGAGGGGUUCGGUUGAAUCAUCUCUAGCUAGCUCCCCUCAUCCCCAGCUGGUGGGUGGUGGUGGUUGAUGGUGUCCCUACAUCAGUUAGAGGAGAUUCCCCCAAAUAUUCCUCCUGUAAACCACCUCUAUGGACCUAUACAUAGAGGGGUGUGCUCUCCAUUCCAACACACACCACAAGUUGAAUCACUCUCUCCCUCUUUAGUUUCCAAGUUUAUGGAGUUAGGCUAGAGUAGCUCUGCUCAAGGUUCCAAGUCCACUUGGAGUUAAGCAUAUGUCUCUUGUAUCGUUAUUUCCUAAAUUGACUUUAUGCUUAGUUCUUAUAUGCAUGAGUUAGUCUAAUACCCUUGCUAUAUUGAUAUGCUCGGCUUAUAUGCUCGUAUGCUAGUCAUAUACCCUUGCUGUCGUAGUAUAGGCUUAUAUGCUCUCAUGUGUGCCUGUAGACCUUGCUAUAGUAUAUACUUGUUGUGCAUACAUACCAUGUAUAGGCUAGUCGAUCUAUACCAUGGCAUUGGUUCAAUAGCCAUGUUUUUGGUGGCUCCAACCCUAGUCACAAUAGCUCGGGACAGCUGGAGUGUUGUUAAAAAUGCAAGAGUGGUGCUUGGGUUGUUUAGCAUCGUUGGAUAUGGGUUUGCCCCACGGGUUUCUAACGGUAGGCGGCAGCUAGUGACAUCCCUGUCCGUCCUUCGUAAUCCCCCCACAUUCAGGUACGCCAUAAAUGUUCGUAAAUUAGCAGUAACUACGCCGGUACACCUGUAGGGUAUUGUCUCCCUGUAGUACCUUGGUGCAUAGAACUAAGUCCUAUACACUGUGUGUGUAUGUUUACGCUGAUAUGAUCUGUGCAGUAUAUAGGAUGUAUAUAUGAACCUAGAGCUAACUCCUAGUCCGUUCUCCAUAGCUUAGUUAUCUUGAGAUGAUUCUUCUGUAUGUGUAACACUACCCAUCUUAUCAUUAUCCUUGAUCCUGUCUUGUGUAAUAUAUCUACUCAUCCUAUGAUAUACUCAUAUGCAUAGUAAACUAUUUUGACCUACCCGCCUUCCUUUGGGAAAUAUGAUACCUUGGAAUAAUCCUAGGUGAAAUCCUACAACGGUAUAUCCAUGUAAAUGCGGAUUUAUUCAUGACCAUUAAAUAUACCAACAAUCAUCACUGUGAGUUUUGGGCGUCGUUAGUGAAGGGUUGGUAGUGAUGGGCAUCCCCUUCACCAAUGGACCUGGAACCGGCGGUGAUGGCUAUUAUAAAAAAGGGGACACCACCCAGCGUACCCCACGACCCGGCCGGCCGCACCUCCCAUCAUCCCCGCCAGCCGCCCUUCCUUUUCGCCGGCCGAGCAUGGUCCCGGCCUUUGUCCCUACCACCUCGCCUCCACCGCGACCCCCCGCCGAUGCCCUCGUGCCUGGCCCCCCUCAUCUUGCCGGCCACCCUCCCGAUGCGUCCACUGGGGCCCUCGCACCACCAACCGCCCUUGCUUAGAGAGGGAGAGAGAGGAGGGAGGUGAGGCCACGCACCUCGUCCUACACCGCCGCUGUUUCUCCUCGGCCCACCGCGCCUCACCCCACACCACAGCCGCGCCUUGCCAUCUUACCGGCUGUGACGCCUCAUCUCACCGGCCACCGUUCCUCACCCCCACUUCGGUCGUCGCCGCUCCUUGCCCUACCGCUGCUCUUUGCCGCUGCGAAUGAGCGCCGAGUGGAGGAGGAGGGAUGGGGCAGGAGGAGGGCAAGAUCCGGGAGGAAGGGAGAGAUCUCGGGAGGUGGAGAUGGAAGGAUAUGGCGGAAGGGAGAGAUCCAGAGGGAGAGAGCAGGGGAGAGAGGGGGGCGUGUGGGGAGAGAGCGCGUGUGGGGUGGGGCCGGGCUGGUGGGAUGGAAGGGAGAGGGGCUAGACGGGCGCAGUGCAUUCAACUGGAUGAAGUAAAUAUUUUGGAUUCGAGACCCCAGCUUUAUUAUCACCGCUGGUCCGUAGUACCAUCCGGUGCCUGCUCGUAAUUUAAUUUGAAUCUGCGGUGAUGUUUUAUUAUCACCAUCGGAUCAUAUAAAAAUCCGGCGGUUAAAAAUCCGCUGGUUUCGAUGAAAACCGACGGUGAUAGGAUGACUGUGAUAGUCUCUUCUCUAGUAGUGGUAUAUUAGUACCGGCUGCCGGAUGGUGUUGCCGACCAGUACUUCUCCGGGGGCGAUUCAGUACUGCUGUUAGCAAAGCUUGUUCUCUAUGAAUUUGGGGAUGGAAAGCUAGUUCUCUAGUUGUGAUUUGUUACAUAUAUAUCUAUGAUAGUCUAGAAAUUGCAUGUCCUUCGUUGACAUAGUUGAAGCUGCUUCAAGAAUUUACUUCGUGCAGUCGUGCAGCAUAUUGGAUUAUCACCUAGACAGGAUACAUAGGUGAAGCAUUGGAUGUGAUUGUGGCCGAUAAUUAUGCAGGACGCUGUUGCAAUCAACCACCAAGAAGUCUGGAGUGAUGGGGUUGCCUCAUCAAUAAUUUUUAUAUAUGGCUGCAGUAUUAUUAAGCCCACGUCAAUAAUUUUUUGUCCGCACCAUAUAUCGAUGGGGUUGCCUCAUCAAUAAUUCGCGCAACCAGACAAGCUGCAGACUCAAUAUGGUACGAAGCUAGUUGCUCAGCCCACAUGCUCUGAUAUAACAUUGACAUCUGCUGAUCUACAGUAUAUAUGACCAGAAAUAUUGUGCCCACCUCAAUAACUUUCUGAAGUAUCGUGGGGAAGAACCUACGCGUACUAUGCCUCGGAACUAACUGACAUAUCGGCCCAGGCGGUCUAGGCCGAUUGGACUGGCUCUUCCUUGUGGCUUCUCACAUCCCCUUCGUCCCCAAGUAAUUUCAGGUGUUCUGUAGUUUUCUUUUCACUUGCAUCUGAGCCUCCUAUAUCAAUAGCUUCGGGAUAAGAAUGCCUCUUGAUAACCUUCCAAAUCCUCGCUUGAUUCACAUUGAUUCCGAAAUCAUCUUGCCAUAUCUUCAGAGACUUAGGUCCUAAGGCAUCAUGGAGGAUUGCUCGCCAAGAAUGAGCACCAUUGGGCUCCUGAGGACCCUAGGCCGAUCAGCCCGGGCUCUAUAGGUCGAUUGGCCCAGGCCCUCUCUGGGCCUGUUGGCCUUCAUCUUUCUUUGAGUCGACGCUUAUUCAGGGCUUUGUCCAAUUAUAGUCCAUUAUAGUCUAAUUUCCUAAAAAACAGAAUGUCCUCCAAAAUACAAUGCAUAUGUGAAAACAACCCAAUUAUUAGGUAUGAUCAAUAGUUUAGGUAUUAAAUUAAUAUUAUUAUUUAAGAUAAACAGGGGUAAAGGGUGUCAUUAAUAACAAGCGCCAACAAGCGUCCUAGCUGUUCAAUAAAUUUUUUCUAGUACCGAUUGGUAACACUAACCGGUGCUAAUAUGUACCCUUUAUUACCGGUUAUUUUACCAGGUACUAAAGGAGACAAGAGCAUCCUAACAUAAGGUUAAUAUCAUCCAUUUCAUGAGUAAAAUACUAUGAUUCAAAAAUAAUUCAAAUCCCUUAAGACAAUACCUAUCAAAUGAGUAAAUUGUAAAUAGAGUAAUCUUGAUCAAACAAUGUCCUAAUGAAACGGAACACUUCUGGUUCGUGUAGAGCACAAUAUAGAAAACAGUAGGGUAGCUGUAUGAUUGACACGUGGUCCAUUAAUUAUUGAGCCAACACUAUGGACAUGUCUUCAUGAGUAGUGUACUAGUCAUAAUACAUGGUAUGCAGUAGGUGGAGGUAUUGACUUAGCCAUGCUAUGAGCACUUAGUUACAACAAACACUUUGCCAUUAUCGAGCAUCCCAAAUCACUACAAAAUCCAUAGUUUACCAUAUACUACAAAAUCUGAGUUAAAAUAAGAGCAUACACGGAAGAGUCCGAAUGCACGGCACAUUGAAUUACUAGACAAAAUUUAUGGGACAAGGUUUUGGGUAACCGCAUGAAAAAUAUUGGAUUUUACUGAACACUUAGUUACAAUUACCAUGCCCGUGAGCACUUAGUCACCACAAACAUUUAACCACUUUAGAUCAUCCUGAAUCCCUAUAAAUUCUAUACCUUACACCGUACCAUGAAAACGACAAGAACAGAGACAGAUGCGGUGAAAAUCUCCAGAGCAAGCCUGAAAUUAAAAUAAGAGGAGGCAGUCACUAUCGACAGGACACGGAGAUUGCUAGCCAUGACAGAGGAAGACAUGAUAUGAUAUUCACCUCUGAAAUGCAGCGUAGACUAAAUGAAGCACAAUUGCAAGUGAGUGUGGCAGAUAAUGGACCAUCGAGACCAUCGAAUGGUAUGAAGCAUGAUUAUCACCUAGACAUGAUAUCCUAGACAGGACGGUGAAUUGUAAAAAGAGUAAUCUUGAUCAAAGAAUGUCCUAAUGAAACGGAACAUUUUUGGUACGUGUAGAGCAAAAUAUAGAAAACAGUAGAGUAGUUGUACGAUUGAAACUGCAUCCAUCGACGUGGUGCAUGAAUUGUUGAGCCAACACUGUGGACAUGUCUUCAUGAACACCAUCUAGUGAGGACAGCAUGCAGAAAAAUAUAAAAACAUGUCAUAGGGAGGCAGACCAAUCUUGCGAGGUAGACGAAACGUGAUACACGAUCUGCCUACCUUGUCGUGUGGAUACCCCAAGUGAAGAUGUCAUAGAGGUGCAGACCAAGCUAGCAAGGAGGUAGAUGAAACGUGAUACACGGCCUGCCUACCUUGCCGUGGAUAUUAGUCCUGAUAUCAUUCUAUUGUUCAAGGAAUAACACUCAAUGCUGCUGCUGCUGCUGACCUGGCUCCAUAAAGUUAUAUUCCUCUAGCCGCUUGCACUAACUUUAUCUGAAGUAUUAUUCUCUCUGCACUGUAUAUAUGGUUACGGAGUUUGCUGGAGUAUCCGGGGGGAAGAACCUACAUAAUAUGUCUUGGAACUAACUGACAUUGAUUCACAGACAAGGUGCUGUUGUUGACAUGGUACAGUAAAUAAUAUAGUUUACCAUAUACCGUAUACCAUUAUAUGUUAGCUAAAAUAAGAGCAUAACAUGUCGCAGGAGUCCAAAAGCACCGGUUGAGGACCAGGUACAUUAAAUUACUAGAAAACAAAAGGGGACAAGGUUUAGGUAGCCACAUGAAAAACAUUUGAAUUUACUGUACCAUGAACACUUAGUUACCAUGCCGGGAGCACCUAGUUAACACUAACAUUUAGCCACUUUAGAUCAUCCCGAAACACCAAUGACCCUCAAUAGCGACAAAUUUUGGUUUAAAUGCCGUCACCAAUGAUCCUCAAUAGUGACGUGUUUAGGUUUAAAUCCCAUCACUAAUAACCCUUGGUAGUGACGUGUUUUGGUUUAAAUCUCAUCACCACUGAUCCUCACUAGUGACGUGUUUUUAGCAACACACGUUAUGAAUGACUUGUCAUUGGUGACAUGUUAAACGCGUUAUCUCAAUGGCAAAUCAAUGGUGACGUGUUUAAAAAAACAUGUCACUGUGAGAGUUAUUGGUGAAGGGUAAUUAAAAUGCAUCACUAAUUUUGUAGCAUUAGUUAUGAUAUAAUUUUGUAACGCAAAAAUCUACCAUAGUAAUGAGGUUUAGAGCCAUCACUAAUGUGGGUUUCUUAUCGUAGUGAUGCAAGCUCUACAAGGUGCUGUUGUUGCCAUUUUAAAGCAUCCCAAAUGACUACAAGAGUCCGGUUGAGGACUAAACAAAUUGAAUUACUAGAACCAAAUGUAUGUCCAGAACAAAGAAAGGGGUCAAGGUUUGGGUAACCGCAUUAAAAACAUUGAAUUUUACUGUACCAUGAACACUUAGUUACCAUUACCAUGCCUUGAGCACCUAGUUACCACAAACAUUAAUUUAGCCACUUUAGAGGUUCCACAAUCACUAUAAAUAAUAUACCAACACCGUACCAUGAAAACAUCAAGAAGAGAGACGGGUACAUGGACCACCAUCAAGUGAGUAGUGACAGCACGCACAAGAAUACCCGGAACCUUUUAGCUUGUCUGUAGUGAUCUGUUUUCUUCGCCACAAAUAAUGAAAGAGGCUGACCAAGCUAGCAACGAGGUAGAGCAAACGUGAUACACGUAGGUUUCAUUCAAGACAUCCAUGUAAGAUUCAUUCAAAACAUUCAUGGAAAUUUCUUGUAAGUUUUCAUGUAAAUUUCAUUCAAGACAUUUGUUAGAGGUGUUGUAUAUACACUUAACGUACAUAUAUCUAUGAUUUCAUGGUUGUUAGUGAUGGCAGAUGAGGAGCAUGCAAGGUGUUUAAUGGAGCAGAUUAUUGCUAGUGGUAGUGGCUCCAACCUGCCCGUAACGUACACCGACGAAGAGGGCAGCCAGGCGGACAUGUUCCUCAACAUGUCCGGUGAUGGCAAUGAAGAGCCCGAGCAAAACCUUGCCGUGACGGAAGGUUCCAUCGAGGUAUAUAUCAUUUCCAUUAUUUUACCCCAUCUAUAAUUUCAUAUUCAUUAUUACUAUGUGCUAAUUAAUGAAUCUUGAACCGUUAGUCCUCUAGAUCAACGAACCGAAAUAAGCCCCGAGGUCUUACAAAGAUAAUGCAGGGAAGGCUUCACAUCAUGGAAGUCACAGAAGAGGGCACAUCGGUUGCUCCCGAACAUGUGGCAAGAAAGUACGUGAGUCAAACCGGGGCAAUCGUAAGGGACAACAUGCCCAUCAGCAUCAGGGAAUGAAAGAGCAAUAGAAAUGAUCUAUACGCACCCCCGGAUACACAAAAGGAUAUGUUGUGGGCAAAUAUCAAGAAACACUUCACAUUUCCCAAAGGAUAUGUUGAAAAAUAUGUGAAAGCGUGGAUGUUGAAGAAGAUGGCCACCCAAUUCCAGACAUUCAAGAAGAUGUUGGAUGCCAACUUCAUCAAGAAGGGUCGAACUCCGGGUUUCAAUGAGUGGCCAAAGUUAAGGGACCACUGGGAGUCGUUUGUCGAAUACAAGACGAGCGAAGGUGGUGCGAGUAAGGUUCACAUCAAUGUUGCCAAUGCUAGCAAGGAGUACCAUCAUCAUCUAGGGCGACGUGGUUACAGCUCUGCAAUUCCCAGAUGGCGCAAGAUGGAACAAGACCUGAUCGAUCGGGGUAUCGUACCAGCAACUCUUGACUGGAUCGAUUGAAAAAUUGGUAUUAUGCUCAUGAAGGCAAUCUGAGCCAAGAGGAUCCGACAUUGGUCUUCAAUAAAACAAUACGUCAGAAGGUCGGAAGGCUUAUUAGGAACAUUGAAGAUGCUAAAGCUGGGAGGUUCAAGGUGGAUAGAGAGAAUGAUGAACUCACAUUGGCCCUCGGGACUGUCAUCUCUAGCACUUCCAGCUCCAGGACUAUCGUCACCACCGGGACCGUCGCUUCCUGCUCGAUCACAGUCUCCAUCUCCAGCACAUCCUGGUGGUGCGAGCGACGACGACAACAACACCCCUCCCUGCCCACCAUUGCCGGGACUAAGACCCGCAUUGAGUAAGGAACCUGCAACACCACUGAAGAAGUCGCGACCACCACCUUCAAGGCAAGUCAGCAAAAGAAGAAAGCAGAGAAGCCUAAACCCACUGAGAAGCCAGCGACUGAUAUGACCGAUGCGGAAAGAUGGAAGGCACUCAAAGAAGAAUGCAGGGAGUGGUUCAGCGAAGGCGAAGGUGAGAAAGUCGUAUGAAUCGAAUUCAAGGAUAUAUAUGAAGUGAACCAUCAGGAUGCCCUUGAUGUCUCUCUCAUCAGCGCCUAGGUUCUGUAAGUGUAUGUUUAUCUAUAAGUAAAUUUUGGCUCAUAUCAUUAUUUUUUUUGCGUGCGUCACCCUACUAACUUCGUCUUCCAUUUUAUGUAGGAUGCUAAUUCAGACGUGCCGCAUAGAAGCGUACUUCCAUGUUGGAUUCAUGGAUCCAUCCCUAGUUAACCAAAAGCCGAUACGGAAGUAGCUAGAGAAAACGUUGGAGGUGGUGUACAACCUCCUGGACAAACUAAACUACAGAAUAGGGGCAAUAUGUGAGGGUCUUGUAGGAUUCCUAGUGGACGAGGUGAUAAAUCCAUAAGGAGAAUAUCAUUCCAACGGACGAGCAUUAGACACACUGAGCAACACCUAGAUGGGAGGAUCCUAGGAAUGACCUCGACAGAUUUUGGUAUAAAUAGUAAUUGUGUAAAUACUAGUUUGAUUUGUAUAGGAAUAUACUAAGAAUUGUAUAUAUAGUAAUUGUACAAAUACUAGUUUGAUUUGUAUGAAUACUAGAUUGAUUUUAUUAUAAAAAAGUUUUAAGUCGUACGUGCAUGCGCCUACAAAGGCGCGGAUGCCUUUUAAUCCCAGUCGGAAAAACAAACUGGUACUAAAGGGGCUCGUGCCGCACCUGGCAUGACCACCCCUUUAGUCCCGGUUGAACGACCCAGGACUAAAGAUCUCCGCGUCUCAAAAAUUUUAUCUCGGAUGCUUUUUAGAGAGAUUUGAGGCCUAUCAACCAAGACUAAUAUCGAGUUUUCUACCAGUGAAACUAACUAACGUUCACAUGGUUUUGACAUUCACCUGCCAUUUGGUGUAGACAAGGGCACCCUAACAUAUGGUUAAUAUUAUUCUUGAAAGAAAAUCCUUUGAUUCAAAAUACUUCAAACCUAAUAAUACAAUACUUCUCACAUCUGAAAAAUAUGAGACGGCCCGACAGUAUUCUAAUCGACGCAAUAAUAUUUUGAGGGCAGCACUACUACAGCGACCCUCAUUCGUGCCGGUGCUGGGACUCCUAUCACGACCCUGAUACAAAUGAGGGUACAUUAUUGGUGCCAGUGCUAGAACAGCCACGAAUAACUUGCUAAACGUGCUGUUACACUCACUACAGGGACCAAGAAGGUAGAUAAAUUACACGACAUAGCCUUGGUUGCCGUGGAAGCGCCAAGAAGGGAGACAAAUUACAGGGACCACACCAUCAAGUAGAUAGUGACAAUAUGCAAAAGAAUACCCGCGCCUGUUAGCAUGUGAACUGACCACACCACGAAACGUGAUACACGGCAAGCGUACCAAGGCCUUGCUGUGCAGACUAUGCAUGGACAACACAUGGUACCUGACCGCUUUUGGCCUCAGACACAUCGAAAAACUGCAUCGUUCCACGUUGUACAUCCAUUGCUAGUUUAUCUAUAUUACAUAAUAUAUUAUUAGCUAUUUGAAUAGAAUGAACCAAUUAAAAAAUUGCGUUGUAUUUUUAGUACCGGCUGCAGGAUGGUGUUACCAACCAGUACUAAUUGGCCUGUAGGAGUGAUGGUUAUUAGACUUGGUACUGUUGUUAGCAUCAUUAACCUAAUUGUGCGCCGUAUGAAUUUGGGGAUGCAAAGCUAGCUCUCUAUGAAUGUGAGGGAUGGAAAGCUAGUUCUCUAGUAGUAAUUAUAUAUAUGACAGUCAAGAAAUCGAACACUAUGCUGCUACGAGUCACCAUCAUUUCCUUCAUUGACAAUCUGACAUAGGUGAAGCUGCUUCAAUAAUUUCCUUCGCGCAGUCGUGGAGCUUAUUGGAUUAUCACCAGGACGGGACACGGAAAUGGCCAGCAAUGAAGCUGAUUGCCGUCUGAGGAAGACUACAUACUUACCUAUGAAAUGAAGCGAUUGCAUAGACUAAUGAAGCAUUGCAUAUUUGCAUGUGAGUGUGGCAGAUAAUUCUGCAGGACAUGAUUGCAAUCCACGCACCAUCGAGAAGACUGGGGCGAUGGGGUUGCCUCAUCAAUAAUCACGUGGAUGCAUGCAUGCAUGUUCCCGCAACCGGACAAGGGUCUGAUAUAUGGCUAUAGUAUUACUGAGCCCACAUCAAUAAUUUCCACUGGUGUAUCGUGUGGGAAGAAUCAACAUACUACACCUCGAGUUCUUGGAACUAACUGACGUUCACAUGCAACCUCCACAAGGUGCUGUAUGCUUUUGACAUUCACCUGCCAGUUCGUGUAGAGAAGGACACCCUAACGUAUAGUUAAUAUUAUCCAUUUCAUGAGUAAAAUACUGUGAUUCAAAAAUACUUCAAAUCCCUUGAGACAAUACUUCUCACUUGACUAACCACUAACCAACCCCGAAACCCUAACUCAACUCCGAACCCUAACCCCUAACGGCAUAACCACUCCGUUUUGCCGGCGAGAUGGAGGAACUGGCUGGAAGGUAGAGAGGGCAGCGGUCCAGGGUUGAAAACGACGGGCGAGCGCAGUAACAUGUGGAGGAGGAAGUGCCACGUAUUCGUUCACCGCUAUUGGGCAGCGACACACGACACGCCCAAUAAGAUCUUCGCACGGUAGAAGGACGUCAUGUAUUCAAUAAUGUUAUUGGUCCCCCAUGUGCAGAAGGGCGCGCGCGUAUGGAAUAACAAGUAGGGACACUGCAACUAAUCUACUCUGCUCGUCCAGUCCCUAGCCUAUAAAUAGAUGCCAUGCUAGCUCUUGUUGUGCUCACAAUUAAUCCGAUUACACACGAGCUUCUCUCCCUGGCCAAGACACAACCAUAGUAUGAUGAAGAACAUGGCACUAGCCGGCAAUGGUAUGAAGAAGUUAAUCCUCGCUGUUCUCUUACUGUGUCUAGUUAUAGGGCAGAUACAAGUGGAAGCUAAGAGCUGCUGCCCAUCCACCACUGCAAGAAAUGUCUACAAUACCUGCCGUUUCACGGGUACAUCCCGUCCAACGUGUGCAAAACUGUCAGGCUGCAAAAUUAUCAGCGGGAACAAAUGCAAGCCCCCUAACGACCACCUCACCCUUGACCCGGACACUGGUAAAUAAUAAAUUUAUCUCACUUGAUUUCUUCGUGAUUUGAGUCGUUAAUGUAUUUUCCAUCUGAUGAAACGUAUUGGUUUUGCAUUGAAGAGGAAGUUAAUGUGCUUAACUUCUGCAAGUUGGGGUGUGCGUCGUCUGUGUGCAACAACAUCAACGCUGGUAAGCAACUUUUGCUCAGACAGAGAAAACAAUAAUCAUUAAUUAGCGGCAGCUAGAAUCCUAUAAUCUAAUAUAUAUAUAUAUAUAUAAUUUUAUCAGCUCUGGGAAAUGAAGAGGCGAACGAUGCCGUUGAGAGUUGCGACCAAGCCUGCUCUAGCUUCUGCAGCGUGCAUGUUGGCAGCGCCACCGUGGUUGCUUAAGCAAAUGCAUCCAACUAGAUCGUCCUUGUGCUGAAUAAUUGGAUAUCGUAUCCACUUAAAGCUGCCUUGUGUAGUACGUCUUUGUGUCUCUCUUUAUAUUCCAAUAAGGUCGGUGAUCUUGAUGCCACACACUCAGAUGUGUGUUCAUCUCCAGAUACUACUCCAUGCUACCUGCCCUUUGUGUUUUGUUCAAUAACUGGGUAUCAUAUCCCAGCCAGUAUGCCGUCUGUUUUGUGUUUGUUUCCUUCUAGUUCCAAAGGGGUCAUCAUGAUGUUACCUUCUUUCAAUAUGGUGCUUUGCAUGACUACUGUUGUAUGGUACCAUCUUGUGGCCAAUAAGUACAUCUUAUCCUAUGACCUUUGCUAUGACCCUUUGCAAAUAAGUAGAAGAUUGUUAUAAGCGUCAAUACUCCGUAUAAAUUGAUCGCUGCUGUGAGUUCCCUUUCAGCUUAUCGUAGGCAUACAUUAUUGCUAGCACGGUAAAGCCAACCAACACGAAUGAUGAAGUAAACGUAGCGGUACUUCUGUAUACCAACACCCUUACUUAAAUGUACCGGUGUCAUUCCCUACUGGCACAUAUAUUCUUAUAUGCUAGCCAGCUUGUAAAAUUAACCAAUUAAAAUAAUUAUUUCAAGAUAGAAAUAACUUAUCGGUUUCUGGAAGCAUGUGUAAUGUGAAUUCAAGGACUCGACGGAAGUUGAAUCACUUCAUCUAUAUUGCUUUCAGUAUUUUGGGUAACUAAAUUUAACAUUUGCACAUACAAAUGUUAAAGUACAAAUGUUAAAUCUAGUUACCCAAGCAGAAUAUGAAGAUAGUUUAUAGUAUAUAUAUACUAUAUAAAUCUAGUUAACAUUUAGUCUAAAUGUUAAAUCUAGUUACCUAAAAUCCUGAAAGCAAAAUGUAUAAAUAUAUAUCUUUUAAGGCAGUAUAAGCUUCGAUUCCUAUUGCUGCUCUGUUAAAUCUCAUCUUUCGUUGUGGCCCAACACUCUAGUAUGCAUGUUGCACCAAGCUUCUUUGAGCCGCUCUGCCCUCUGAUUUUGCUGCGUAGGGGAAUCUUUAUCAGGUUGGGCUACUUCCAGUUGUGCGAUGUAAAGAUUCGUAUUUUCUAGAAGGUAGACAAAAAACUCGCGUUCUCUUAAGGCAACAACCGGAAGAUUCUGCAGCGCACAGGGCAUACCAUUAUUGUAGAAACGACCUUUAGUACCGAUCUCCAACCCCCUUUAAAACUGGUUUUGCAACCGGUACCGUUAUGUCGGUCCUUUAGUACCAGAUCAAAUAAGUACCGGUUGGUAACCAGUAUCAACUUGUUUUGCGGCCAAAAAAAUAAAGAAAAAAACAGUCAGAAGGCUCGCACACACGCGCAUCACAUGAAAUAUGCGUGUGCGGGGUCCAUGGGAUUCGAACCCAUGAAAUCAAGCUGCACGCGACCCUUCGUUACCAUCUCACCUACAUAGCGCAUAUGCUUUCCUGAAGUAACCCGUGGAGGAGGCUUUAGUACCGGGUCAUAACACCACCCGGUACUAAAAAUGACUCUUCAGUACCGGGUCAUAACACCACCUGAUACUAGUAUCGGAUGGUGUAAUGACCCGAUACUAAAAGGCCUCUAGGGACCCUCAAAUUUGAACCCGGUACUAAUGCUAAUAUUAGUAGCGGGUCAAAGUGCAGCCAGAACUAAAGCAUGGGAUGAAAGGUCAUAUUUCUAGUAGUGUAUAGUUGUUGUGAAGGACUGACUUGGCUGUCCUCUCUCUUCUCCAUCCCCUUGGUCUUACGCCGCCGCUCGCACGCGAGCCGGUGCCCAACCAGAGGAGUGAGAGCUAGGGGCAGGUUGGGAGGUGGGGAUAGUGACUGGUGGCCAGGGUGAUGGUUGAUCCUGGUGGGGUUAGGGUUUCAGGGUUUUCGAGCUUCCUAUGGUCGGCGAACCUAGAGGAGAAGCUCAACAUCAGCUGCAACCCGCGAUGGUGGUGGUUUGGCCGGCGCCCGAGGCGAGGCAGCGCGGGAGUGCUGCCGGUGGGUUGGUGUUGGCACUCAUUAUUGACAACUAUUUUGUUCAUAAAAUAACACUCAAACUUGCUGCUGCUGCUGCUGCCAUCGCCACCCUAGCCAUAAUAUAAAGGCAAAAUUUGCUAAAGGACAUGCAAAAUGAUGCUAGUUUGCUGGCGGGCAUCGUUGACCUUGUAAUAUGCUACAAGACACUCUAGUUGUGUAUCAAUUUGCUGAAAGACAUUGCUAUGACUAAAAUAAUGUUUCUGGACUGAGUUGGAGAGAGAGAUGGAGUGAAAUGUCUGUUUUGCCCAUGACCCCACUGGUCAGAUCCUUCUUCUUCCACCCUCCUUUGUUCUUUCUUCAACCAUUACCCAGCUCCAGCGUGUUGCAGAUCUACGAGGGUGGCGGCCUGGGGCGAGGGGCAUCGCUCGCCCUUGGAGGAGCGCUGCGAGCGACGGCGCGGGGGCGGCAACAGCGCGUCAGAACCUGACUGUUCGUUAGCUCCUCUCGCUGCUGGGGAAGAAGGAGGGGGAUGGGCCAUGGACGGGGUUCCCUUGAAAACCUCAGCGUCGAGCUCGGGCGGCUACGCGCAGGCAGCACUAGGCUGCUUCACGGGGAGGGGGCGCGGCCAAUCAUUGGCACCCCACUGGUCCAAUGCUGAUGAAGAUGGUGCCAGCGUCGUGUGAGGACAUCUCAUCUCCUCGAGUUCCAUGGCCAGCACAGGUGAGCUGCCGCUACCACAAAACAGAGGUUUCGUGAGAGUCAAAAAACCUUAUGAAAAUAGCUAAAACCAUCAUGAAAAUAAUCCGUGACAUGACACUCUCACGAAAAUCCUCUCACAAAUAUGGUGCCAUGAAAAUACCAUUUUCAUGAGAGUGAACUGUCAUGAUUUUAUAAGCGUCAAUACUCGGUAUAAAUUGACUACUGCUGUGAGUUCCCUUUCAGCUUAUCGUAGGCAUACAUUAUUGCUAGCACGGUAAAGAGAACCAACACGAAUGAUGAAGUAAACGUAGCGGAACUUUUGUAUACCAACACCCUUACGUACCGGUGUCAUUCCCCACUGCCACAUAUAUUCUUAUAUGCUAACCAGCUUUGAAAAUUAAGCGAUUAAAAUAAUUAUUUCAAGAUAGAAAUAACUUAUCGGCUUCUCGAAGCUUGUGUAAUGUGAAUUCAAGGACUCGAUGGAAGUUGAAUCGCUUCAUCUAGAUUGCUUUCAGGAUUUUGGGUAACUAAAUUUAACAUUUGCACACACAAAUGUUAAUGUACAAAUGUUAAAUCUAGUUACCCAAGCAGAAUAUGAAGAUACUCUAUAGUAUAUAUGUACUAUAUAAAUCUAGUAAACAUUUAGUCUAAAUGUUAAAUCUAGUUACCUAAAAUCCUAAAAGCAAAAUGUAUAAAUAUAUAUCUUUUAAGGCAGUAUAAGCUUCAAUUCUCUGUUAAAUCUCAUCUUUCGUUGUGGCCCAACACUCUAGUAUGCAUGUUGCACCAAGCUUCUUUGAGCCGCUCUGCCCUCUGAUUUUGCUGCGUAGGGGAAUCUUUAUCAGGUUGGGCUACUUCCAGUUGUGCGAUGUAAAGCUUCGUAUCUUUUAGAAGGUAGACAAAAUACCCGCGUUCUGGAAGAUUCUGCAACGUGCACGUUGGCGCUGCCACCGUGGUUGCUUAAGCAAAUGCAUCCAACUGAAUCGUCCUUAAGCUGAAUAAUUGGAUAUGGUAUCCACUGCUUAAAGCUGCCAUGUUUAGUACGUCUUUGUUUUUCUCUCUUUAUAUUCCAAUAAGGUCGGUGAUCUUGAUGCCACACACUCAGAUGUGUGUUUAUCUCCAGAUACUACUCCAUGCUACCUACCCUUUGUGUUUUGUUCAAUAACUGGGUAUCAUAUCCUAGCCAGUGUGCCAUCUGUUUUGUGUUUGUUUCCUUCUAGUUCCAAAGGGGUCAUCAUGAUGUUACCUUCUUUUGAGGUGUCUAUGAUGACUUCGUUAAUAUCAAUAUUAACCAAUUCAAUCUGUCUUAACUAUUUGUAAGGGGUAUGAUGUAUGCAUGAUUAUAACAAUGAUUGCGCAUACAAUCGCCGCCAAAGAAACGGUCAAUACCAUUAAGACAUAUUACAGACAAUUCUCAUAAUCUAUAAUGAAUAUACAUAUUCACUACUGCAGAAGACUGUCAUUUGUAUCGGCUCAUACGUGCCAGGGCAAAGGUCACCCUUGCAUUAAGUACAUUUGCACGGUAAAGACAACCAACACGAAUAAUGAAGUAAACAUGCCGGUGCUUUUGUACACCAACACGCUUACUUAAAUGUACUGGUGUCAUUCCUCACCGGUAGCCGGCUUGAAAAUUAACCAAUUAGAACAAUUAUUUAUUGUAUCGGUGUGAUUUUUGACCUAUUGGAAUAUGAAUUUGACCGUUACUGCAUUCGUCAAGACUCAAGAGAGAAAUAACUGAUCGGCUUCUUAGAGCGUGUGCAAUGUGAAAUCAAGGACUGGAUGGAAGUUGAAGCGCUAGCACUAGUAGAGAAACGACUUUCCAUCCACCCCCUUUUGUCCCGGUUUAAAGUUGGCUCGGGAUAAAAGGUUCACCAACCGGGACUAAAACUCAGUCACUGGUGGGAGGCUCACCAACCGGAACCUUUUAUCCCGGUUGCAAAGGCUAAUGGGAAAAAAAGACUCUGAGAGGCCUUUUAUCCCGGUUUGAAACACCAACCGGGAUAAAAGACCCCCCUUUUAUCCCGGUUGGUAACACCAACCGAGAUAAAAGGGUCAAGAGCCUUUUAUCCCGGUUGGAAACACCAACCGGGAUAAAAGACCCCCUUUUAUCCCGGUUGGUGUUUCAAACCGGGAUAAAAGGGCCCCCACGAGGUGACUGGAAGGUGACUGGAAGGGGAUUAAAUCGUGGGGGACCCUUUUAUCCCGGUUGGAAACACCAACCGGGAUAAAAGGGGGUCUUUUAUCCCGGUUGGUGUUUCCAACCGGGAUAAAAGGGUCCCCCACGAGUUAAUACAAAAGGAUAGUAUCCCCUACAUAGUCAGAUGUGGUGUGUAGGUGGGAUGGUAAGGAAGCUACGCGCGAGCUCCGGAAUUUUUUUUUUUUUUUUUUGCAGCGUCGGCGCUCUCUACCCUUUUAUCCCGGUUGGUAUUACCAACCGGGAUAAAAGGGGGUCUUUUGUCCCGGUUGAGUGACCCGGGAUAAAAGACCCCCCCUUUUUUCCCCGGUUAGUUUAUCCCGGAUGCAUUUUCGGGAUAAAAGCACCCUACCAACCGGGAUUAAAGCUCACUUCUCUACCAGUGUAGCUUCAUCUUCCGCUGCAAGUUAAUUGCUUGGAUAAGAAGUUGUAGCCGCUGCAAGUUAUAAAUAGUCCCGCUGAUGCUGUGCUCCGAAGUCUAUACUAUAUAUGCGGAAACUAGAUUGCUUUCAGGAUUUUGGGUAACUAAAUUUAACAUUUGUACAUAAAAAUGUUAGUUUACGAAUGUUAAAUCUAGUUACCCAAGCAGAACAAGAAGAUAGUAUAUAGUAUAUACUAUAUAAAUCAAGUUAACAAUUAGUCUAAAUGUUAUAUCUACUUACCCAAAAUAUUGAAAGCAAAGAAAGAAUAAGUAUAUAUCUUUUGUUGGAAAAUUGGUCCACGGAGAGGCCCAUUUAGGCCUCGUUCGUUUCACCGGGAUGGGAUUCCAGUCAGGAUUACUUCCAAGUUCGGUUUGAGUGAUUCCACCCGUGUCACUCAAUCCGGCUAGGAUUCAUUCUAUGGGUGAGGAGGUAUGGUUUCAAUCCAGGCCAUCUAAUGUAGAAGGAUUCCAAUCCAGGCCGGUUUUCGUUCCAGGCCAGACUAAAACGAACAACACUUUCAAUGCAAGUCUGGUUUCAAACCGGGCCAUUUCAAACCACCCGGAAUGGACCUCGUUCCAGGCCAAUCCGGUGAAAACAAAUGAGGCCUUAAUGGAAUCCCAAAGCAAGAGUUCAGUGGCAUUCUAUAGUCCCAUGCUGCUAGUUUGAGUUGGUCGAAGCCAACUUAAAUAGGAGAGCUCUCUCACUUCUCUAAAUACGUAACUGAAGGAGAGAAGGGGGCUUGGGUUACACAACGCACGCACGCACGCAUAUUUGCGUUCUUUUCGCGUAACCAACCGCGUGACUUGAAACUUGCGACGUAGCGUGCUGCUAAGUCAAGUUGAUAUAACCUUUUUGCCGUUUGCAUGUAAUCUUUUGACAACGGUCAUUGGAGGUGAUAAGCACGCAGUCAAUACCUUAAUCUUGAGUUAAUAGGGUGGUUACUACUGCCAAUUAGUGGGGCAAUUUUGUAGGGGAAACGGUUAGCAGAGGGCUACCGUCUUCUCUAUAAGAAGUUCUGGAGACGUCCAGGAACACACAUGUACAUGUGAGAGACCCACAAAUUCCUUCCCUUCUCCCUUUUCCAUGUGGUGAAGUGUGCUGUGGUACUGAGCUGCUUGAUCUCGCCGCUCUUCUCCUUGGCAUGCACCGAGGAGGAGGGUGAGCGGUAUCUCCGAGCUAUUGCCGUCAGGAAGCCUGCACGAGGGACAACAAAAAGUUUUUGGGUAGCGCAACUGCCAGCACAACUCUCCCUCCGCCUCUUCUUCACGGUUGAUGGCCACCACAAGCAUAAACCUCGCCUUCGCAUCCACGCAAAAGGGUCGCUGGGGUGCCUUCUUGCAUCGCUUCUCAGCCUCCUUGACUUGCGGCCAGCCAAGAACUGCGCCACCACCUCGGGUGCACGCCACCACUCCAGGGCUGCUACCCCAUGCCUGCGGCCGCCGCCGGCCACCACGCGUGUGCAACCGCGUCGCACCGCUUCCUUGCUUUGUGCCACCACUGCUGCUGUACCACCAGCUCCACCACCUUGGGCUGGUCGCCAGAGUGACUGAUAACUUAUUAUCUGUAACUACUAUUAACUCAGGGAUACAUGCGUCUUUUGCUUCUCCUACUAAUAUGUCCUAAAAUAUCUAGGAUGCCUUAUAUUUCUGGACAGAGGAAGUAUUUGAAUAAAAUGAACCAAUUUAAAAAAAUGUGUUGUACACUACUACAGAAAGACCUAUCAGUGUCAAACCCAAAAAUGUUGUCACCGCCAGUUUUGGGCAUCAUUGGUGAAAGGUUGGCGGUGAUGGGCUUUCCCUUCAACAACGGCACUGGAGCCGACGGUGAUUGACAUUAGAAAACAAAAAAGGGGACCCUACCUAGCCACCCCUGCAACCCGGCCGGCCGUGCCUCCCCUCAUCCCCACCACCUCGCCUCCCCAUGACCCCCCGCCGGCGCCCUUGCGCCUAGCCCCCUCAACUGCCCAGCCGGCCACCCUCAUCACGAGAGAGAGGUGCAUGUUGUAUAAUUGCGUGAAUUUUUUAAUGUUUAAUUUCAUGUAAGUUCCGUGUAAUAAAUUGUACAAGUUUUAUUGUAUAUAUGAAUUCCAUAUAUAUAUAUAUAUAUUUAUAAUUUAAUGUAUGGUUUCAUGUGUAUAUUUCAAUCAUGUGUAUAUUUAGUAGAUUGCCGAUUUUCUUUUUCUACUAGACAAGGGUUGAUGUAUAAUUACGUGUAUAUGUUUAUUGUACGGGCAAUUAGGACAAGUUUUGUAUAAAUUUCUUUUAUUUGAUGGUUGUUGUAUGGUUUCAUGUAUAUACAUUUAUUGUACUACUUUAGACAAUUUUUAAUUUAAUGUUUCUAUGAUUAGAUGUGUGUAUAACUAAUUGUAUUAUUAGUUAAGAUGGGAGCUAAAGAGGAUGAAAGGUAUAUAAUGGAGCAGAUUAUUGCUAGCUCAAACGUUGCAAGAACCUACACCGAGGGUGAGGGUAGCUAGGUGGACAUGUACCUCAACAUGUCCAGUGAUGGCAAUGACGAUGAGGAGCACGAGCAUGACAUCUAUGAUAAUGCGGAACAAGACAUUGCAGAAUUGGAAGGUUCUAAUGAGGUGUGCUUCAUGUUGACAAUCUAGUUGGCUUUUUUUCGUUGGUCACACCUUAGUUACCAUAGAACUUCGUCUCGGGAGAAGAUUGGUGGUGGUAUGGUGAUUGGAAUUUUAUUUCCACGAAAUCUGAUUUCCAUCGAAUCAUAUCCCUUGUAUUUAUCUUCUUUUUAUUUGUGAGAGCAUCUUCUUUAUGCUUGCAAAACAAUUCAAGUGCACAUACUACCCCUAGGGUGACGAUUGGGAGUAGAAAUAAUUGCCAACAAAACAACACCACAUCCUAAGAUUCUUAACUUGUGGCAUAAUUAGUCUAGUAAAAAGAAAGAUAAAAACCUAAUGGGUGUAUGUGAGUGCAAUGUGUAUAUGCAUAUGAGUGGAAGGCAUAUAAGCAAAGACAAUAUUUACACAUAGUUCUAAACACCAUGUUUACAGCUAGGUUGCUGAAUUUCUCCAUAGCCAUAGAGAUUAAUUAACCAAGGUCAAAACACGAUGUCUAUCCCAAGAUCAGUAAUUAUUUAUAGCACAAGAAAAAGAAAGCGCAUUGCAAAGUUUAUAAACCAACCAAUACAGCAUGAAAACAAGAUGAAUAGCUAGCAAGGUUUAUUAAACUGAAUGAUGACGGUCUGUAAGCAAGUUUAAACACCAUCUUUACACAAGAUUGCAAAUGGAAAAUGCCCAUAUGAAGCACUAACAUGGAUAUGAAAUCAUUCAUCAUAAAGCGUAAAGAACAACCAAGCCAACCAUAUGCAAAGCAUGAAUGGAAUGCAAUGAAGGUGCAAGAGAACAUUUUUGGAUGAACACAUUAUGAUGAUGGCAAAAUGCAAUGCAUGCAGAAAAAAUAAAUAUGAACAUGAAUAUGAUGAUCAGGGGCGGACCCACUAUUGUGGCCUGGGUAUUCCUCGGCAUACCCAAUAUUUUUGGGAAAAUGUUUAGUAGUUUUUAAUGGCAUAUACAUGUAUAAUAUAGUUUAGGUGUUAAAAUUGAUAUUCACAGCUAUUUUGGGCUCCAAUUCGCGUCCAAACCAACCUGGCCCACAGACCGCACCCGGCCGCCCGGCCCAUCGGCCCAUCUUGUCACUGAUCCUCCCACCACCACACUCAGCCCGUCAGUUAGUCAGGUCCCGAGCUCCUGCCUGACCUAGUCCGCUACCACCGCCAGGCGCCAGGCACAGCUGUACACGCCGCCCCCGUCCACCCACGUCCGCCGCACGGCCGCGUCGCGCCCCCCCCCGGCGCCCGCUGCUGCCAGAACCCAUUAGGCCUCCACCGGCAAGUCCACCCACAGUCCCGCGCGACGCGGCAGCCUCUUGGCUCUCGGCGCUCGCGGCGCGCCAAUGCCUGCGCAGCCCCAGCAGGCGACUGCCCCCCCCCCCCCCGCAUCGGGCCUCGGCCCCUCCCCAGCUCCCCCUCCCCCCUCCACCAGGACUGCCUGCUGGCCCCCACCGCGAGGUAAUCGAAAUGGACUGCUCAAUCUCUCAAUCUGUUGACAUGAUGCACACGGUUGCAAAAAUAGAUGUGUCAAAAUAGAUGUAUUGCCAAUUGCUAUAGAUGCAUAUGGUUGACAUGAAGAAGUCAAAAAUGACAUUUGGUUCCUUGUAGGCAGUCAAAAAUGAAGAAGUCAAACAAUAUUGAUCUGAAAUCAAUGCGGGAAAGGGCUACGAAGACACACGGGUAGAUUCCCUUGUGAACUUUUUAUGUCGUUCGUCUAAAUAUAUUUUUGCAAUGGGCAUACCCUACUCUGAAAUCCUGGGUCCGCCACUGAUGAUGAUGGUCUAAACAUAAAACAAGCCUAGAUUAAUUAGCUACAACUGAAAUUAAGCAAAGGUUAAUGUCAUUGACCCUAGCUCUAUCCUAGCUUUUACUAAAGUCCCGGCACAUAUAGUGGUUGGGCCCACUCUCUCUACUUCCCUCUCUGCUGCAUGCACACACACGAGCAACUGGAGGCCCAACAAAGCCCAGAAGGGUUCGGCCGAACCCGUCCGAUCCAGUCUGAGCGCCGCUCCCUCCCAGCCUUCGCGCAGAUGCUCCUCCAACGUUCCUUGACCCCUCCCUCAGUGUCCCAUUGGGUUUAACAUUGUAGGAGAGGAGUCCCUUUUUUAAAAUCUCAACCACCUCCUCUCCUCAUUCACUCCACUCUCAUCUCCAUCAAACUCACCAAGAUCCACAUCGGAAAUACCUGCUUACCACCAUGGCUGGCAAAGCCCUCGUCCCUUUCACCAACUUGGGCUUGACCAUUGAUCUCGAUGGGAAAAUCACUCCAGCAAAUGUCAUUGUCCCUGUCGGCGAUCUGGCGAUGGAGGAGGUCCAGGCACUAGAGGUCGAGCCCCUAGCCAUCAUACCGCCCAAGGGGUAAAGCAGGAGCAUGACAGGCGCUGCUAGGGGUUCAGCCGAACUCCCAGUUCAGCCAAACGAGGACGGCGUCGCCUCGGCCUCCCGCUCGACUGCAUGCUUCCCCUUGCCAAGGAGGACUCCAGAACAGCGGGCGCGUGCGUCAAGUCCCUACAAAAGGCUGAAAUACAAUGAAUAUCCAGGGUCACCCUUGAAGAUGGGUGAACGCUACGCCGGGUCCUUGUUUGACUAGUACGGCGAUGCAUUCUGCCACCGCUAUGUCGUUGUCGAGAUUAGCGGAUCAAGACUUAGACUAGUAAAUUUCUUUUAUGCGCGUAAGGCUUCAGAUGGUGGCGUGGGAGACAUGGGUUUUAUACUAGUUCGGGCAAUGGAAUACCCUACGUCCAGUGUCUGGAGCUGCUUGUGUUGCCCACGCGGGGUUCUGUAGUAGGGGUUACAGGUGUGCGAGAGAGGGAGCUAAUCCCAGGUCUCUUAGGCGUGUUCCGGUCCUCUAGAUGGGAGAAGUGUGUUCUGUUUGCUUGGGAGUAUCGGUUGUGUCUGAGUUGUCUCCGGAGCCUCCUCCCGUCUCAGGUCCCCGAUUCUCCUUUCAUAGCACAAGGAGACCAUCGGGGUUACAGACGAGACCGAGCGUGGGGAGGAGUAAAGAGAUAAACAUAGCUAGGUAAAAAUACAACAAGAAAGGGGGGAACCAAGUUUCUAGGUCACCGGCGUCCUCGCCGGCCUUCGACUUCCGCCGGCGCAUUUGUCGGAGGAGGGUGGCCGCCAUCGCGUUCUGUCGAUGGCUUCCUCGGUGACUGUAGCCACCGGGCGUGAUGAUGGCAUUUCGUCGUGACCCUUUGUCUGUUGGGGGAGGCGGCGGAUCCUGCCAUUCUGCUGACGGCUCGCGGAGUGCGAACGUCGCAUCCCUGCCGCUGGGCACGCGGGGCGCGAGAACGUGCGAGGCUUCCCCCUACCCCAGGCGGCGCAGGCCAUGAGUGCCCUGUGGCAAAUCGGAGGAGGCCGCAGCUACUGUAGCUUGUACUGUGCAGCCACGUAUGGGUACUUGUGGCAGGUUGCGUGGUGGAUGCGGAUAUCCUUCUCCCUGACAGAUCUGCGGCGCAUUUAUGGCGAGAUCGACAUGGGGACCCACAAGACCCGCGCCCAAGGCGGAUACUUGUCUGGAGGGCCCGGGUUAGCCUGACCCCCUACGCUUGGGGUCGGGCGAGGCGGAGACUUGCGGCGGGGCGUCGGACGCUCCCGACACUAGACCUGCGGUCGCGCAAGGCGGAGCUUGGUCUUCCGGGGGUCGGGGGUGCCGGACCCCAGGAUGCGGGGUCGGGCGAGGUGGAGCGUAAUUCUUGCCUCCCAUGUUGGGCCGAUGGCAGUCUUUGUUACCUCUAGUGGGCUUGGGCCUUUAUGUUUUGUUGUUUCCAUGGGCUUCGAGAGGUCGUUAAUAUUUCCCCCCAACAGUAGCCCCCGAGCCUGUGGUGGAGUGGGGGCGCUCCUCCGGAGGCUACUAUCAUCGCCCCUAGGGAAUCCUCGCAGUUGAUCCGGGAUAGGAGGUGUUGUUUGCACGGCUUGACCGAGGGGGUCGAUUAGGCGACGCAUCCUGUGAGCGACUCGGUGCGGGAGGGUUUCUUGUUGUUCCCUUCUGUCUGAGAGCCUUAAGUCGAGACCACCUGCGUGGCCUUUGGUUGCAAGGCCAGCCCCCGAGCCCCCGCACGUUGCAGGGGACCGGUCGGAGGCUAGGUCGACUUUUGUUCAUUACCCUCAAGCGUCUGUUCGCUAGGACGGAGGGGGCGAGCCGUGCCAUGCUAUCCUCAUCGGACGAACCAUGGUGCUCAUUGAGUUACUAACGGGUUGAUUCGAGUGGGAUCCCGGUCCCCGUUCGGGGGGGGUCCGGCUUGGGCCAAGCUGGUGGCGUACCCCAGGCUCCGGUCGGCCAGUUCAUAUAGUUCCUGAGUCCGUUCGGUCGGACCGGGGGCUCAUUGCCUUUCUUCGGGGAAAAACCAUGAACUUUGAUGCCGGUCCAGACUCGAAUGUGAGAUUGAGACGCCCGGGGCUGUCGCGUGCCCGGGUGAUGGCCGCUAGCGGACCCGUCUCCUCUCACCCCUCACUCGGGGGUAUCCUGAGGCGGCUGUCGAACCCGUGGCGGGCCAGCCUUCGAACCUCUGGAUCGUAAUGGGCCGUAGGGGCGUUUUCAGCCCCGUAUCCCUUUUUACCUUUUGGUGGGCCUUGGGCCGAAUCAUGGAGGAGGUCGGGCCUUGGGCCGGAUGCGGAGGAUGUCGUGCCUUGGGCCGGAUGUGGGGGACGUCGUGCGUGUCUUCCGGGAGACGAAGUGGUGGAGGGUGCCAACCCGCGAAUCGAGGGAGGAGGGGAUGUUUCUACUGCAGGUCAUGCGCACGGUUUCCGAAAAGGCAGCGGGCGUGACGGGACGUACCUCGCGCCGCAUUUAUUGCGAUGGGGGCGUCUGUUCUGCUUCCCUCGUGCCUUCCCUAUAAAACGAGGACUUCGCCUCGCCGGUUCCGCCCGCCAUCUACCUUCAAGCCUUUUCGCCUCCUCGCGCGCCCUUAGCUUUCCUGUGCCCGCUUCGUCUUCCUCCGCCCAGUGCCGCGCCCUUUCUCCCCAUCCGCCGUCGAGUUCUUCUCCCUCCGGCGAUGGGAUCCUGGGCGCGUUCCCACUUCGGCCCCUCACGCGCCGAAGGCCUAGUGAGGAAAGGCCUCCUUUGCGAGAGGACGGAGACGGAUGAGUGGGGGUUCCCUGAGAUGGAAGAGGUGCCGACUCCGCCCACCGGCUACGUCGUUUCCUUUGCCCACUUCCACGAGAGGGGGUUUGCGACUCCGCCGAGCCUCUUCUUCCGCGGGCUUUUGUAUUACUACGGGCUUGAGCUGCAGCACCUCAACCCCAACGGGAUUCAGCACGUCGCGGCGUUCGUUGCGGUGUGCGAGGGGUUCCUGGGCAUUGAGCCCAACUUCUCGCUGUGGAAGUACUUCUUCACGGUCAGCCUAUACCAGAAGGCCGAGAAGAGGGGAAGCCAGCAGCGGUCGACCCCGGUGCCGAUAGGGUGCGUCGGAAUCCACCUCUGCCAUACUCGCGCCAAGGAGUAUAUCGCGAUGAAGACCGCGGCAUCCCACAAGGGGUGGCACCAGCAAUGGUUCUACGUGAAGAACUACUCCAACCCCCCCUGCCGGAGUUCACCGGCCGCAUUAUUGAAGCGGCGCCGGAGGUGUGGGUGUACGGCCCGGUGGAGAAGGAGAAGAAGCGGAUCACCGGCCUGCUGCAGGCCAUCGAGCACCUGAAGGAGAGGGGACUGACCGGAGCCGGAGUCAUCGGGGCGUACCACGCCCGGCGGGUGGCGCCGCUGAUGCUCCGGGUCCGCUCGCUCGCCGACAUGACCCCCGGUGCUCUCACCGAUGGCACUGUCCUCGCGACGGGUGCUCUCGCUGCCUCCGAGAUCCGGCAGCGGAUCCGGGAGGCGCUGGAGGACAAGGACGCCGAUUACCCGGUGCCCGGCCACCCUCCGAUGCGCCCGGACGAGAAUUUCAUUGAUCUGGUAAGGAUUUUGCGCGCCAGUUUCCCUCUCUUGCGUUUCUUGGUAUGCCGUUCUGACGCGAGGCCCUCUGUGUUUGCAGGGUAGCAUGACCCGGGUCGUCGACUUGCGUCCGCCAGUGUCGGAGGACGCCGAGUGGCGGUAGCAGAACCGUCUCCUUGCCGAGAAGCAAAAGUGACGCAAGGACAAGAGACAGCGAAGAAGAAGAAGAGGGCCGCCAAGGAGUUCCAGCGGCGGCGGUGGGGAUAGGUCGUGUCGGAUGACGAUGACGAUGAGAAGGAGGAGGAGGAUGACGAGGAGGAGGAGGAGUUUAUCCUGUCCCCCCGGUCAGGGGCGCUUGUUAUCCGGGAGCCGCGCUCCCAAGCGGCCAUGGGGGACAAGGCGGGCGAGCUGCCUGCCCGGACCCGAUCCUGCGAAGCUUUGGGGGCGCGCCCCAGGGGUCGGCGCAGAGCGCCCCCCGGGGGUCGACGGAGCCGACCCCCAUCCCUACACCUGCAGCCCAGGAGCAGAGGAGCAGCGACAAGCGGCCGUUGCCAGAUGCCCCGGGGUCGGCGUCCAGCUCAGAGGCGAAGCGCGCGCGCCGCCCUUGCGCUGGGGGAACGUGAGUUGAAUUUCCUUGCGAAUCUCGUUCCUUUCCAUGCAUUGUGUUUGUUUCCGCUGAUGCUGUUUGUUGUCUCACAGCACCGCCCCUCAAGGCCUUGUCCCGCCGUUGGCGCCAAAGAAGGCGUUGCGGUGUUGUCGCCUCUGCGGGGCGGACCGCGGCUCCGCCGGCGGCGAGUGGCGGGGUCACUGGUGAGACCGCGGGUCCUACCGCGGAGGUGGCCCCUGCGGCGGCAACCGGUGGAGUGGUGCCACCGCCGGGCAUGGGACAGGGUCUGGACCCCGCUCCGUCCUCCGCCUCUUCGGCCGACCCCGCGGUGCAGAGUAUCGCUCCUGGGGGCCCUCAGGCCGGGGAGGUGAUUGACCUCGACGCCGACGAGGUGGAGGAGACGGCGGCGGUGGAGACGGGGGCGGUUGCCCCAGCGGCCAUGACGGGGACGACGACGGCGACGGGGGAAGGAGAGUCUACCCCCGCGGCCACGGCGGGGACAGUGGCGACAGAGGAGGCGGGGACGCCCGCCCCGGCGGCUGCGACGGAGGAGGCGGCGGUGACGGAGACGGGGGCUUCCGCCCGGGAAGCCACAGCCGAGGUGGCAGCGGCGACGGAGGUGAAAGUGCCUGUUCUGGAGGCCACGGUGGGGGUGGGGACGCCUGCCUCGUGGCCACGACGGAGGGCGAGGCGGCCCCAGGGACACUUGCUCCGGCACCCGCGUUGGAGGCGGUGGCGCCGACGGGUUGGCCCGUGGCGGCCUCGACGGGGGCGGGGGUGCGUGCGCCGGGACCGUCGGUGAGGCCGGCGACUUCCGGGAUGGUGGUGCCCGUCUUGACGGCGGCGGCGGCGCGGUCGGCCCCCGCCCUUGCCUCUACCACUCCCAUUCCCAAGGCGUGGAGCGGAUCCGUCCUGCGUUGGUCGUCUCGUGACGACCCGCAGAGGCCCCUCUUCACGUUGGAUGAUGCCACAGAAUGGGGCAAGUGGCAGGCGCUGCAGGGCGGACUCGCUAACGUCCGCGCCGCUCUAUCUUCGGCGUUGGGGGAGCUGGACGGCGUCAUCUUCCCCGGUGGCCGGGUAUGGUGCUUUCUCCGUUGGUUAUUUUCUUCCCGUUACUUCGUCCCUGAUGGCACAUUGUUCUGCAGGCCCUCCAAGAAUGUAGCCGGGGAAAAUCUGAUUUCCUUUGGCUCGAGCAGGGGCUCUGGGAGCGCUUCAACUUGGAGUUGCAGCGGACCGGGGAGCUGACCAUGCAAGUCGCCACCGUCUAGCAUGUCAUCGACGAUCUGCGAAGGCACGAGCAGGCGGCACAGGAGGACGCGCGGCGGGCGGAGGCCAAGUUCCAGGUCGUUGCCGAAAGGGCUCGCUGCGACCGCGAGGAGUUCCAGGCCGUUGCCGAAAAGGCCCGCCACGACGCUGAGGAGCUCGCACGGCUGAAGGUGCAGCAUGAAGCUCUUCAGAAGAGCGGCAGAGGGCCUGGCAGGACCGGGACGCCGAGAAGGUCCGGAAGGAGGAGGCUGAGAAGGUGGCGGCCAACCUUGGGGCUGAGGUCAGCCAGCUCCAAGUGCAAGCGCGAGAGCUUCAGGCCUCCGUGGCCCAGGGGCUCGACCAGGAGCGCCAGCUGAAGGCCUAAUCCGAGGGUAUGACUCUGUUUAUUUCUUUGUCUUUGUGAUGUUGCGGUGAUAUUUUAUUUGGCGGGUUCUUCUGGAUGAUCCUUGCAGAUGAGCUCAACUGGCUGAGGGAGGUGCUUGACGCGGAGCGCGCUGAGCACGGCGACCUGCGGGACGCGGUCCGCGUCAUCUGUGACUUCCUUAGUGUGGUCCAGGGGGAGGGGACGAGCUCGCUGGCGGCUCGUGUCCUCGGGACGUACCGCCGGACCAGCGAGAUCGCCCUGGAAGCGCUUCGCACCGGCUUGAGGCAAGCCUUUGGGGUCUUCGGCUCCCACUAUUCCGGCAUCAACUUCGCCGGGAUGAGCGGGGGAUACGCCACCGGCUACUACGAGGCCGAGCUGGAUGAGAUCGACGUGUCGGUGCUCAGCCCGGCGGAGGCCUUGGUGAAGCUCCUCGAGGAUGAGGCCGUCCCGCCCGAAGAUCCCCGGACGAGUUAACUAUAUCGGGCUGGCGCCCCAGAUGUAAAUACGUUAGGGAAAGACUUGUUUUUUGUGAGGGCCGUAGAGGCCUUUUCUAUGAAUUGUCGUAAAAAAGUUUUUGAUUCCCUUUCUUGCUUUUUGGACUUGGAAAGUUUAGAGCACGUUGUCGGGCGUGUCAGUAAGCUUUGAUGAGCGAAGGCACCGUAGCCGCUGGGGCGUCGUUUUUUUUGCAGUCCGAUCAAUCUUGCCUGAACACCGUUCGUGCACUUUCUCCUUUUUAUGCCCAAAAGUUCAGAAAGAGGGUCGGCUCGGAAAGAGAAAGCGUUUUGAGAGGGUGUCAAGUGGCUUAGGUACUUGCGGCAGGUUGCGUGGUGGACGCGGAUAUCCUUCUCCCUGACAGAUCUGCGGCGCAUUUAUGGUGAGAUCAACAUGGGGACCCACAAGACCCGCGCCCAAGGCGGAUACUUGUCUGGAGGGCCCGGGUUAGCCCGACCCCCUACGCUUGGGGUCAGGCGAGGCGGAGACUUGCGGCGGGGGGUUGGACGCUCCUGACCCUAGACCUGCGGUCGGGCGAGGCGGAGCUUGGUCUUCCAGGGGUCGGGGGCGCCUUACCCCGGGAUGCGGGGUCGGGCGAGGCGGAGCGUAAUUCUUGCCUCCCAUGUUGGGCCGACGGCAAUCUUUGUUACCUUGGGUGGGCCUGGGCCUUUAUGUUUUGUUGUUUCCAUGGGCUUCGAGAGGUCGUUAAUAUUUCCCCCCAACACUAUGAGGAGGACUUGUGGGCAGAAAGUCAGCUACCACAAACUUGCCUCUGAAUAUUUGGAGUGCAAACAUUGGAUGGUGGUUGUGGAGAGCCCCAGCCAUACCUCGCACCCGUGGAGAGGUAAUUGUCGGAUUGCUUGGUUCGUCUCUAGAAUGCGACAAGGUCAGGCGCCACCUCUCACUGCUGCCAGUCAGAAGGCCGAGGGGCCAGUUUCAACAUAGUAAUGAGAAUCUCCGAAGGCCAAUAUGGUUAAGCAGCUAACCUCCAUGAUCAUAGACUUACGUUUAGAAAAUAGGAGGCUUAGCGAUGCGUUAACAGAGCAGAAGUUAGAAACAGAAGAACUUAAGGACGACUUCCGUGUCCUCCGCCUUGGUCUUUGUGCUAAGAUAAAGCGCUUGUACAAUGCCACGGGGAAUGACGGUCUCUACGAUGCAGCUCAAUAGACGUGCCCCUUGUAUCCUUUCCUUUAGGCACUUUAGAAUAUGUUUAUUUGUUUUCCUUCAUUUUAAUUUCCAAUAGAUUGUUAGCGCCUCCAAUUUAAUUUCAAUAAAGUGUAGACUCACCGGUCAUCCAACUUGAUGGAGUCCUUUUGUCACCUAGUUGUCUUUGGAAGAAGUAGCUGGGUACAAAAUAAGUGUGGGGGAGAGCCACAGACUCUCUAGAGCUGAAACAAUGCACAACACCCACAAAUAGAGAAAACCACGCUGCACCAGCACGUACGUGAAAGUGGAGCCAGAGCUGGACCCAUAGGGGUUUGGCCAACCCAAGGGGUGGCCCACUCGGGCCAUCUUCAUCCACCGCGUCGGUUUGUGUCUCUUUACCCCUGAUCUCCCUGAUUCAUGAGUUUGAAUGAAUUUUAAAUCUGAUCAACUAAUUCAAACUCAACUAAAAUGAAUCAACUGCUCCACCUGCUCUACAUGUUUUCUAUGGUUGGCUUGCAUAUGUUUUAUUUCAUGCUUAUCAUCUUGAUGCUUGUGAACAAAUAUCUUUAGGACAGCAUGCUCAUCUAAGUAGUUGAUGUGUAUGAUAUGGUUCGAUGAUAUGAUCUUCACUCUUAAUGCUUAAGUGCUUGGGAAAAUCUAUUUGAAAAUUUAAAAGCCUUUUUGAAAUCUCCUCUUUGAUGUGCCAAAGUCCUACCAAAGCCAUAUGAUAAGUUAUCUUGAAAAACCAUUUGCAUAUGUUGCUUGUCUUUGCAUUGAGCUUUGUCAAAUUGGUGUGACCCUUGUCACAAUUCUUUUCAUACUUUCAUGAUCAAGACUCAUGUGCACGCCAUAUACCCCUUGCUAUGCUUCUAUGAGAUGUUAGCAUUGUACCAUCCAUUCAUUCCACAAAAUAAAUGCUCCACCAUAUGUGUUGGUCUCCUUCUAAGAUUAUUGUUACAAAAGAGAUAUGGGCUAUCAAAAAAAAAUAUGAAUGUCCAAGAAAGUUGGACACAUGAAUGUCCAAUAAAAAGAAAAAGAAAGAUAGCCAUGUCCUCAGAAAUAUUUACAAAGGGAGAGAGAUCAUACAAAAAGGAGUUUCCAUUCCAUCCACCACAUCCAUACAUGUGCACAUCUUGAUCUGAUUGUAUGACUUAUUUUUCUCUUUGGAUCUGGUCUUUGACUUUGCAAUAUAUGUGAUGCAAGCAUGCCUUAUCCUUCAUAGCCUACCUUGAGCUCCACAUAUAGCCAUCAUUAGAAGUAGGAUGAAGAAAGGCAAGUCUAAUGCCUUGGUGAGGACAUAUACACAUUGAGUGAUCUGAGAGAAUCAAAUGAGGAGCUAAGCAAGGUUUUGUUUUGAAAACUAAUUGAAAAAUCCCAAGCUACUUGGCAUAAGGAGUUGAGGUGACUUGAUUCAAGACCAUUACAUUCCUCAACUACCCAAGAUGGCAUGAUAGACACUCCAAAGUUCACAAGUGCAGGUAUGGUUUGGAAUAUCUUUUAGGCUCGCUUCAUACCUUUGAAAGUUAUGUUUCACCUUAGUCCUUUCUCGUUCACUCAAGGAUAAGCAAAGGCUAAGUGUGGGGGUGUUGUUGAUGGCUCUUAAGUACAAAAUCUGCGCCAUCAACUCUUGCAUAAACACAUAAAAUAUGAGCAUCAACAAUAGUGGUAGGAGUUAUUACAAACGAAUUCCACAAGUCUUGGUGAAUAUUUGUAUGCAAGCCCAAUAGGAGAGAAAAGACACCUCAAAAGCAAGGAAACACACUCUCAACCAAUCAAGAGCAAGCACAUGGAACCAUGGGCCCACAACCAAAAGGAAAUCGACUACAUUCCAAACACCCUAUACCCACAUGAGAACCCAUAGGGCAGUGACCCAGAGCAAAGGUGAUGCCAGAGUGUAGAUGGUAGUUAGCAUGCCAAAUUUUGAACCGCAAGCGCUCGGAUUAGUUGUUUCUUUUCCCUUAGAGAUUCCCCCAAGGUUUAUCAAUCCAUGGAACAAGGGAUUUGCACGUUUCACUAAGCACUAAUCAAUGUAAUUGAAAGCUUUUCGAAUAAGAUAUGAUUAUGCUAACAAAGGAACUAAGCAAUCUAGAUUAAGAUGGAUAGAGAGUACAGGUUGUGAACAAGAUAGAUUAAACGCUUGUAGAUGCAAUCACCAUGCAUGAAUGAAUUAGAUCUAGGUGUUAUUGUGAGUGGUUGUGAACCAUGCCCAACACUUUCCCACCCGCAACAUUGUCACUACAUGUGGGUACUCAACUAUCGGAACAUAAGAACACAUCAAGAUGAUCAUUCUAGGUAAGCAAAUAAGCAACCCAAAGUAGCGCUGGCCAGCCUUUUCAUGAAAGAGCAUCAUCAAGAUAAGAUUGAUAACAAAAUAGAUCUCAACCAAAGGUUCAGCGAUUACAAAUCAAGAUCUUCGUAUAACCCCGAUGACAAAUAGAGGUAUUACCCCCAUGAUCUUACACAUGUUGAUGAAUUUUAGGGUAAAGGACACCCUGUAGAUCAACUGGACCAAAGAUGAUGAUGAACGGGGGCAGGGAAGGCCCAGGUUGAUCAGCCUGCGCACUUUUGAGCCGAUCAGCUCAGGGGGUUUCCUCCUCCCCUGGUGCUCCUCUUCGCGUGGCCUCCUCUGGAUCCAAUCUUCUCUUCAUUUCUCCUACUUGUGGCGGCAAUGGAUGGUGUUUGCAUGGUGAUUUCCUCUUCUCCCCAACUCUCCCUCCUUGAAGUCCAUGAGGGGGUAUUAAUAGUCUCCAAUAGGCGGCAGCUCUGGGUCAAUGUCAGUGAAAAAAUCCUAGAGAUCAUCGUACACUUCAUGCUGAGGAAACAAGAGGUUGACCGAGCCCUGGGAUAGACCAAGAGGAUCAUCCUAGAGGGUCCCAGGCUAAUCGGUCUAGGCCCUUCCUAGCCCUUCUAGUCCUCUCCUUCCUCGUGCUGGCUUUUCUCGAUGACCCUUGUCCAAAUAUCCAUGAAGCUCUAUAUACAUACCCCCUUGAUUAUGUUGUAUUUCCUGUCAAAAUACAAUGCUCCAAAAUACAACACAUAUGCAAUAAUAGGGUUAUUUCAGGUGCCAAUUGGUGGGUUAGUAUACGAAUAAGCAUGAAAAUACUGUUUAAAUGACACUAAAAGUGUGUCAAUAACGAGCACCAACAAUCCCCCCACGCUUAGAUCUUGCUCGUCCUCGAGCAAGUCUAGCGACUAAAAGAUCUUGAAUUAAACCUGAGCAAGCGAGUCAAGUACCUAGCCUUGAAACAAAAGAUUAGAGGAGCAGCAAAGAUAAUCAAAGUCUGGGUGUUCAAAGAUUUAUCUAAGCAAAGAUUCCCCUACAACUAUUAUUCAGAACCAAGUAACUUCAAAAAUCAACUACACUUAUUUUCUGGCUUUUUUCAGAGGGUUUUUCUUUCAUCAUAAAACAAUCUCCCUGCAACAAAAUUGAAAAAAGAAUUAUUUUCAAGGUGCUUACAUGUCGCUUAAAUGAAUGUUGGCUAUCCUACUUAUUUGCAAGCUCUCAUCUCUCAAAAUUCAUUCAAUUAUAUGGUGGAGUUUGGGUAAGGUUAGCUAGAAUCAACACGUAUAUUAUUGAAUUAAGAAAACCCUCUAACGGUGGCCUACCUUCCGAGCCAUUGAUCAUAAGAAUAUCCACAUAAUGUGAAGUUUUCAAGGAUGAGAAGAUAUAGAAUGGUGGACAUGUGCAAAGGCAAAGAAAUAUAGUGACUCUGAGGCACAAGCAAUGUCCUCGUCGUUGGAUUGCAUAUGGUUGUAAUGAAAAUAUGUUCCUUAAACAAGUCUAUCUUUUCUUUGCACCACUCUUGAUCUUCAUGACAGUAAAAACUCCUCCUUUAUUUCUUUCUCUCUUUUCCUAUUAUUUCUUUUUAUUUGUCUCAAUACUUUUAUUUCUUUAUUUCUUUAUUUUAAUCUCUUCUCUGAACCUCUUCUGAACACCACAUAAUAAAAAUAAGUUUUAGAUCCUUCCAGAGACCUUCCAGGAAUUUGCUACAUGAAAACCGAGGCAAGGAGACCCCAGGCCGAUUGGCCUAGCCACUCCUUUGCUCUCCUCUAGCUCUUCUUUCUGGUGAAGCUUCCUUAUCUUGUAUCUUUCCAAAAAUUUCAUAAAGCUCGACUAGAAACGGAACAGAUCUUCAUAUAAUGAGUUGUGUUCAAGGAAUUGGUAAUAAAAUUGAGAAAUUUGUGGUUCGGGUUUACGAAUUCAGUACAAAAAUAUGAUUGUUCCAAUGAAGAACUCUCAUUACUGAAUAUUGACGAGGCAAGCAUUCAAAGAUGGUAAAAAGGAUAUGAUCAAUUCUCAAAAUUAAAGCAAACCAAGAGAGAGCGAUCCUAAUUCAAUUCAAAGUGUCAAAUGUUGCUUAUGGUGGUAUGAAUAAAUAUUUUUAGGCAUUGGGUAGGAUAAAUAAAAACUCUCAACCUGGUUAAAAGAUAUUGAUCAAUCUUGUUUUUGCAGAGGUUUUAAAUAAAAAAUAAAAUUUUAAAUCACCUCCAAUUCAAAGCCUUACUCAUAAAUCAUAAUCAAAACUGAAGCACUUGAUCAUCAUAAAGCAUGGGUAUUGCAUAAACAAAUCGAUUACUAAAACUCCACAACUACGAUUUAGAAUUCAAGACAAUGCUCAUAAUCUAAAGUUGCAAAGAUAAAAUAAAAGACAACCAAGCCAAGGUAGACACUAAAAACACUUGCACGAUCCUUGAAUUUUAUUCAUGCUUCUUCUCACAAAGACGCUAAAGUAGCCAUGUAGGCCUAAGUCUUCCCAAAAGCUUAAGAAAACUACUACUUUAUCUACUUUUGGUUGAAAUAAAAAGACUAAUCUAGACUCUCACAUGAUUCGACUCGACCAAAUUAGAUCCAAAAACUCAUACGAGCGACGAUCUCCCCCCCCUCACGCUUAAAAUCUACGACCUCCUCGUCGUAGCCAUAUGGAGUACAAGGAAAAGAAGCUUGUAAACGCUCUAAUGACGCUACCCGCACUACUUGCACACGGGAUGGUUGCUGCUUCCUUCGCUUUGUUCUUCCUCAUGUUGCUGCACAUCCCGAAGAGCUUCCUCACGUUCCUCUGCAAGAACUUGAACUCGUCCUCCUGACGGCGAUCAUUAUCUUCUGCCUUUUGAUCCAGAGCUUGUAAGGCUUGCAUGAUGUCAUCGAACGCAUCGAAGAGGUAGUGGAUGUUCUUCCUGCAAGCUGUGGAACAUGUACGAUCAUGCUCCUCCGAUUCUGGCCCGUCGUCUUCUAGAUCCUUCUCUUUGCCCUUGUCUUGACGGUGGCUAUCUUGCUCCUUGCUCGCCUUCUUGCCUUCAGCCCAAUCCCAGUACGUGUUGUCAUCUUCUUCAUCGUCACGGCCUGCAGCACCCUAUGAUCCAUUGUCUAUCUUGUAUGAAAGAAUCAGAAGCUUGUUCUCCUCAGGGUGUCUUGCGCGGUGCAGCGUUUGCAAGUGCAAGACUUGCUAGUUCCUUUUACACAUUGUAAUGUUCAUUGCAUGCUCUAAUUGUUCUACAUUUGUAAUUUCUUGGUGAAGUUUGGUUACUGAUCCACUGUUUGAUUAACUCUUGGGCCCAAACACUGUACUACUUCUGAUUAGAUAUCUGUAUCUUGACUUUGACCAAAAAAAAUAUCCGGCAGUUUUUGCCAUUAAAGUUUCAUAAAUCAUCUUGCAAAAAUCGUACUAUACAACAAGGGACGGUUUAUUAUAAAAUAUACGUUCCCCUUAUCACAUGCCACUUCCACUCAAAAGGCAACGAAUCAGUUUUCAAUCCUGAGUGAGCAAUUUGCUUUUAUUACCGAUGCCUCCUAUUCCCUUGUGCACCAAGUUUAUUUUGGAUAGGGCUGCAAAAAACGACUAACCAGCUCGGAUUCUCCACCUGCAAAACCGCAUCUGCAGCAACCAACCCCACGCGGUGGAAAAAAAAACAAAACCUAGAAACCGGACGGGGGUGGAUGUGGGGCUCGGAGCCCAAGCAAAAAACGGAUCGGGAGCGCCGGAGCAGGCCAUCACCGGAUGUUAGAGAUAGAAAAUGGUUGAAGUUUGGAGUGGAAAUCAAACAAGCCUUGGAGCAAAGGAAAAAAAAAGAUCAAACCACUCAAGCAUUCAUUUGAUUUAGAAAAGAGAACAUUUGUUAAGGUGGGGAGUUGAAAUCAUCUUUUAAUUAGUUCCACGUAUCUGGUAUCAUUACAGUUGGUUUACUUGUGUAAGUAUAAGUAGCUCUGCCGAAGCCUUUGCUCCUAUAAUUUAGUAACUAGUACAAAUGGAUCAAUAGGAAAAUCAAGUUGCAAUCAUUUCUCAGCCAACCAAACCUAUGUAAAUCAAAUUAUUGUCCAUGCCCGGCAUGCACAGGUGCCUGCCAUGCAUGCAUUGUUGCUCCAUUGUAAUAACCAUUAUUGUCCAUCGAUGUUGCAGCGCAUGUGUGCACUGUGCAGACACCAAGCAUCGAGAUUAUGUACUAGUAAGGUGUUGAAAUAAUGGGCCUAGCCCAUAAGUAAUUUCAGAAUUUCAAAUAAAUCUCAAAGGCCCAUGUGGGCAAGAGGUGGAGUGGUGCAAGUCUUUAGUCCCACAUUGCUAGUCGAGGGGAGGGAUGACCAACUUAAAUAUGGAAGUUGUCUCCACUCCUCCAAGCUAUGUGUGAAGGGCGCGGGCGCGAGGCACUUGCGUGAAUGGUCCGCCGAAAUCUGGCCCCCCUUGCGGGGGCGCGGCUUCCUUUUGCCGUUUUAUUUUUUGGUUACUUGGUCGUUAAGUCAUGGAAUCCUAACCGGUUUAGAUCACGAUCGUGAAGGUUUUUGGGAAGCGCUCUGCGCGACUGCUCGAUCGCUUCUUCCGCUUCGUCAAGUUCUUCGUCGACUCCUUCACCACGGCUCGUCUACCUCUUCGUCGCUCGGGCCUCACUCGUCGUCGCGAACAACGUCAGGCUGCUGAUCGUCGUCGCCUGCUGUAUCCGGUAGUCGUCCAGGAGCCGGUUUUCAUCAAGAAAGAAACGUACGGUCUCUUAACUCACAUUAUGUCUUCCAUACUAGCUAUUAUGAUUGUUGCAGUCUGAUAGCUCUGGAUAGUAUGGUAGAAUGUCUGAUUCUAUUUGCAAUGAUAGACUUGUCUAGAUCUUGCGUAGACAUGUCUAGUUUAAUCUGCUGCUUGUUCAUCAUAUUCAUGAUUUAUUUCUGGAUUAAGUUAAAACUAAAAGUGCUUAUAUAUCCAACAUAAGGUACCAAGAACACGUGAAGCACCCGGGGGAGGCUGCUCCACUCCGCAUGCACAGGUGGGCACGGCACCACUACUCGUCUCCUUCAGGCUGAGGAUAAGUGAUGUACGCUGAUCAACAGACCACGACGGAACCAGCAAUAAUAGUUUCAGCCUGCCUCACAGUAAUUAAUAUAUCCUGUAUCCUCCGAGGACCCCUCCCCUUAAUCUUGGCCUAUUGCAUCCAAUAAUGAUAUGUGUGUUUAUCCAAAUUUACGGCACCUUUGGCGGGGGUUCCACCCAGCUCCGCCCUCUCCACCUUCGGUACUCCAUGGGAAACCAUUCCUUUGGAAUCAAGGAAGCUUGAACAGUAUAACGAAUAAAGUUUCAUAUAUCCAUUUGAUUUCACAUGAAAUAAAAUAUUCUGUCAGAACCAAUGGUUUCACUGAAGCUCCAGGCAGCGAGCGAAGGGGUGAGAGAGGAUAACGCUUACUGUGUGUUACCAUCGCGUGCACCAUGGAUGACCAACGCGCAGCCGAGAUGAAACGGCGGACCUAAACAGGUCCUCGCUAUUUUUGCAGGUUCUCGACCAGGCCAGUUCUUUAGGCCAACCUAUCAUUCACGAGUUAAACAUACGGUGGCUGGAGAAAUGUUCUAUUCUUUUAAACAAUACCAGCUGGUUCCUCCGUUUUUAUUCCACCAAUACAAGCACCACCUUGUAACAUUUCCUAUGUUUUUUUUCCUUUCGUCUGUUUUCUCACUACAUGCGUUGCUCUUUCAUGCAUUUUUUUCCAUUCCUGUAUUCCAAAUAGGUCUACAUGAACACAAAAUGAACUAGGGGACAGAAAAAGCCAGUGAAGUUAGUUUUGAGCUUCACCAGCUACUUGCUACAUAAAGUGUGCUAUAGUCGCAGAAAAGCUAAGCUGGAUCAGACGUGGCCGAAACAAUGCCAAAGAGCUAGGUCCCUAGCUGAUGGCAACACAUCAGAUGACUAGCCUGCUUUUCUGUAAUAAUGAUAUUGAGCAAUACACUGCAUGGCUAACCUGCUUUACAAUAAUUGUCAUUUUAUAAUAUUGGUCAUCACGAGAGAUGCACAUUGCAUACACCGGCCCAUCCCUAUAAAUAGCCAAGCCUUUCAGCCAUCUUGGGCACCUCCUCUCAGGGCCUCGUCUCACCAUCAGACAUCUCGUUCCCAGUUAUAAUUUGCGAGGUUAGAUCAGGCUGCGCCAUGGCGUCCGCAACUGCUGUCAAGAUCGUCGCCACCUUCAUGCUGGUGCUGACCAUGGGCCACCUGAUGGCCGAAGCAUCACCGCAGCCUCGGCGUGUGCUUGCAGAAACGGAGCAUGCUGCGGUGUCCGGGAAUCCUGGCCUCCCAGGUGAUGCUAGCGUCAUGCAGGUCCUCGAACCCGCCCUAGUUUCUCGGCUUGCCUGCAAACCAGAGUGCACAGUCCCUUGGCCUCCUUUUGUAUGUAUCUGCUAGAUCCUCUUCCUGGCUCAACGGAACUUCAGGGAAAUGGCUGUGACGUCGGCCAAAGAAUAAAUUGGAUGAACAUAAUAUACCCCGGGUAGUGUAGCUUGGGCUUUUGUUGAGCGUCUGGUGCUAGUUGUAUUUUGUUUGCUCAUGUGGCUUUGCUUCUGGUUGCAUAUUGGCUUUCCUAUCGCUCUCUGUUGCAGCUAUGGUUUCUGCCAGGUGUGUGUUAAUGCGGUUUGUAAGCGGUGCUUGUUCCUACCUUCUGUUUUCAAUAAAAGAAGUCGGAGUCUCCCUCCGACUCUUGUUAUCAGUCAACAAAAAUGAGUUGUAUCAUAUAUAUCUGCGUCUUUUUUCUACGUAUCUUUGGGCUGCUUCAGCUGGAAGUUUAUCGUAAGUACGUGUAUCAGGAUGAUCGUUUGAAUUAAAACGAAAUGAUAAUGUGUGGCUGCUAGAAAUGGAAUGAGCAUCUUACUAUAUUACUAAUUGGAAGCCUCCACGUGAAGCCACCUAGAAAUUCUAGGUGGACGUUUUAAAAAAAACAAAACUCAUAGAAGCCUCCACCACCUAGGAAUCCUAGGUGGACACUCUAAAAAGAGACAAAUCCUAGAAAUUCUAAAAAAAGAAAAAAAUAAUAACAAUAAGAUUUUUUUGCAGUCAAUUACAUAUAUUUUUUUGAGACACCGUGCUGCUAGCUCUUGCCAUUGCGACCAGUAAAGCAAGCAGAUAGUAAGAUGACAUGCGUGUGGAUUGAUUAAAACAAAUUCAGUUAGUUGAUUCUAAAUCGUAUGUAUCCUAAAAGGAAGAUAUGUGCGUGCAUGGUCCCUAGCGAUGACAUGUAGACAUGUAUUGCAAUUUCUUUUUUAAAAAACAUGUCUAUCUCUAAACCAACAAACAGAAAAAAUAUCAAUCUAAAUCUAAAUCUCUUCCGUUCUCACACGCCUAUUAAAGAGAAGACAACCAAUCCCAUCCAUGUUCCAUAGAAUCCAUCUAAAAGCUUGCUCACUGCGGACGGCAUUUGACGGCAAAUCAAUGAAAGAUCAUCCUCUCCAAAUAGCUGGACGGCAUCACCAUCUUUAUCUCACCAACCUACAGAGCUACAACGAUGUUGUAGAGAUCAACUAGGUAACCUACCAAUCACCCUCCCCUUUUCUAUAUGCUCUAAAGAACACGUGGAGUAAUUAUAGGCCUAUAGGAGCCGACUAACCUAGAUUAAUAUGAAAAAUAUUCCAAUAUUAAAAGCAAGCAGAUAGUAAUACUUGCCUUUGACCAUUUUUCUAGAACUGUUAUUCCUAUUGAAUGUUCAAGUGCUACGGCCAGGCAUCGAAUGCCUGCACGGAACCUUCCUAUUGAAUGGUUACUCUAGAGAUCAACGCACCGCGAGACAUUUUUAUGGAAUUUGUUUGAUUCCCCUUCUACAAUUAGAUUAAUUUUUCAUGGCAUAUAUUACUACUAUUAAAUUAUUUGUUUAUUGUCGGGCCUGCUGCAUGUGUGGUAUAUAUGACUUGCUUCUCACCAUUGUUCUCAAACUAUUAUUCCUAUCGAAUCUUUCUAUCGAAAUAUAUUUUAAUUACUUGAUUGUUGUUUGUGUACCAUAACUUCUGUAUAGAAAAAUUCCAUGUUUGUAGAUAAUGUCUUUUGUAUAGAAAAAUAGCCCAAUUAGAUCCAUCACCAUCUUUUGCUUAUGUAGUUGAACAAGUUGCAAUGUUGAACAAAACUUUAAGUGAAAUUAGACCAGGAAAAGGAAUUGUGGAACAUUAAGGCAAGGGUAACCAGAUUGUGGAAUGCAACCUUACUCAGUAGUGGCGAACAAUUAAGUCUUGACAUGAUCCUUAUUGAUCAAAAGGUAUGAUAGAUGUUCACUUUGAUUGCAUUAUUGGUAUAAUUUUUGGUUUACAAAUUAUUAAUGAUGAUGCAAAAUUAGGGAACCAUGAUCCACGGUGUUAUCAAUAAGCCCUAUAUGAAAAAGUUCAAACCAUUGAUUGAAGAAGGCAAUGUGUACAUAAUUGCAAAUGUCAGAAUCACACCAGAACCACAGAAGUAUCGGCCAGUGGAAAAUGACAGGAUAGUCAACUUCUUACCCACAACUGCACUAAAAACGAUCAAAGAUACUGAAGACAUUCCAAAGUAUAGUUUUAACUUCAUGAGCACGGAUAUGCUUUCAGCAAGAAUAAAUGUGGACAUGUACCUAUUAGGUAAAACAUUACUGGCUUUUCAAUUUUUACACUUCCACUCAUUAAAUGACCAUCUAAUAAUAAUACAUAUUUAUGUUUCAUAGAUGUUAUAGGUAUCUCAGCUCACAUUGGACCGAUAGAAGAAACAAGGACAAACUUCGGAUUUACUAAAAUCCGUGAUAUUGUGCUCCUGAUCGAGUAAUUCUCUUUUCUUUUGUAGAAAACAACUACAAAACUUUCAACAUUUACAUGUAUGUUAUAGAACUUCUGUUGAACUAAAAAAUAUCUUCUACAGUGCCCCUACAAAUAAUUAAUUUCGUAGUUGGAUAUUUAAAAUAUUUAUUAUUCACUUUUAAAUUUGUGGCCAUGAAGUUAAAGUUAGAUUUUGGGGAGACAAAGUUGAGGAAGUUGAUGAUAAGACAAAAUCCCAUGUCAUUGCAAUAACAUCUACAACUGUGAGUAAAUUUGGCAGUAAGUCUUCAUUCAAUAUGAGUUAUUCAAUAUUAGUCAUUCAACAAACUAACCUCGUAAGAAAAAUAAAUAAUUGAUGUUUUAUCAGGGUAUUCUCUAUCGUCAACCAAUGCAACAAAACUUUAUGUAGAUCUACCUAUUCCUGAAACUAAGGAUGCACAUGAUAGGUGAGAAAAAUUAGAUAUUGUUUUUCUAUUUUAAUCUAUGUAGCAUGCACUCUAACAUGAUACAUUCUUUCAUAUGAUAAAAAAAUGUUAGUUCAAUUGAAAAUAUUGUCAAAGAGAUUCAUAUUGAGGACCAUCUAAAAGGGACAUUGGAAGACCAAAUGCAGUACAAUAGAAGAACUUUAGAAGAAUUAAAUUUCAUAUUAUUUGAAACAUCAAAUCAGGUAUGGAUUAGUAUGUUCAUUGUACACUAUACUAUUUAAAGACUUACAUACAUAAUGAUGGUAUUGUUCCUACUUUCAGGAUGAGGUAUUUACUAUUGAAGCAACAAUAAAUGAAAUUAAUGCAACAUAUGGUUGGUUGUCACACCCGAUUUUAAGGACAAAAUUGAGUGCAUUAAAUACAUGUGCACCAGGAUCAAGUUACACACAUCCUAUGAGUACCGUCCUUCUUUGGCACAAAGAUAACCGGUGCUCCCCAUGGUGAUGAACUAGGCCGAAUAAACUAUUUUGCUGAUAAUUCCUCUAGUUGUUGUUUCAAUUCUUUUAAUUGUUCAACCAACAUUCUAUAAGGACGUUUGGAGAUAGGUGCAGUACCAGGUAAAAGAUCAAUAGCAAAUUCAAUGUCGCGGUCAGGUGGCAUACCUGGUAAAUCGUCGGGGAACACAUCCGGAUAGUCACACACCACUUUGAUAUCUUCCAAGGAUUUUCCAGCCAACUGAUUAACUGCACAAUCUGCUGCUGAGGGUAGAGUAGCUACAAACUCCACUUUCUCUCCAUCAGGACCUGUUAGCAGAACUGUCCUCUUGGCACACUGAAUCGUUGCAUCAAAAGCGGCUAACCACCUCAUCCCCAGAAUUACAUCGAUUCCACUGGACUCAAGGACGAUAAGAUCAGCCGGAAACUCUAUACCCAUUAUUCUCAGUUUAACUUGUGGACAGAUGUAUUGAGCCUUCAUUGACCCCCCAGGUGAACUCACUAGCAUAUGACGCCUCAUGGUAUGCAUGGGUAAAUUAUGCUUUGCUACAUAAUGACUAGUGACAAAAGAAUGCGAUGCUCCAGAGUCAAAUAAAACUGAUGCGGGGGCAGAGUUGACAAAGAACAUACCAAGCACUACAUCUGGAGCCUCCUUAGCAGUCUCGGCUUCCAUGUGGUUCACCUUGCCACAAACAAAGCUUUGCUGCCCCUGAUUGCCUUGUGGGGUCUGGUUCCCAUUCCUCGGUUGCUGCAUCUGAUUCUGCCGAGGAGCACUGCUGUUCUGCACGGGGGUAGCUGGCCCACCUCUCUUAGGACAAGAGCUGGCAUAGUGACCAACCUCGCCACACUUGAAGCAGGUAGGACCCACUGGAGCAUUGGGCCUUGUUGGAGUGCCAGUAGGGGUCAUCUGGCGGUUCUGCGUAAAGCUUGGGCGCGGAGUCUGCAUAGUCUGCAUCCCUGGAUGCUGGAACUGAGGGCUAGGGCGCUGGAAUGACUGCUGAGCAGGGCGCGGAAAUGAGUGCUGCCAAAAAUUCCCACUCGGGCCCCCUGCGCGGAACGGCGUCCCUUGCUGUGGAGCAAAGCGAGGGCGGGUGUUGCUUCCUGAAGACUACUGGGAAUUGAAUUUCCUCUUCAUCUCCCCGAGCUCGUUCCUCUUGUGUUCCAGGCCAAUUGCCUUGUCUAGCAUCUUCUGGAAACUGGGGAAGGUGUGCGACAUAAGCUGAUAUUGGAGUGGUCCAAUCAACCCAUCCAAGAAUAGCUCCUGCUUCUGCUCAUCAUCAGCAACAUCUUCGGGAGCAUAUCGGGACAACUGGACAAACUUGUCCCUGUACUCUGCCACUGUCAUGUUCCCCUGCUUGAGAGCAAGGAACUCCUUCUUCUUAAGCUUCAUCAAUCCGGAAGGAAUAUGAUGACUUCUGAAGCUAGUCCUGAAUUCAUCCCAGGUGAUGCCAUUAGCAUUGGCAUGGGUGGUGGUGUAAGCAUCCCACCAAUCAGCAGCUGGCCCUUCCAGGCGUCCUGAAGCAUACAGGACCUUCUCCCUGUCAGUACAUUGGGCGAUAUCCAGCAUCUUCUCCACUGUUUUCAGCCAAUCAUCAGCAUCUAAUGGAUCCGGAGAAUGUGAAAACGUCGGGGGCUUGUGGCUCAUGAACUCCCUAUGCCUGUCCCUUGGCGGCGGCUGCUGCUGGUUGUUGUUGUUGUUAUUGUUCAGCUGAGCUUGUAAAGCUGCCACGGUGUUGGUCAGUCCGGCGAGAAGCUGAGUCUGAGCUGCUAGAAACUGCUCCAUCCCUGCAGGUGCUUGUUGGUUCUGUUGCGGAGCGGUGUUGGGAUUGCUGCUGUUGUCCCUGUGGCGUGGCACUGUGGGACGGUCAACUCCUGAUCCGGACCUGGUGUUUACCAUCUGAGCGUUAGAGACAAUGGAUUUAGAUAGAUGUGUGAAAGAAUAACUGAGAAAGAUAAAGCGACCAGAUGUAAAAGUAACACAGAUUCUGUUAGCUCCAUUUAAUUAGGUGUGGUCGUCAGAAGAAGUGUCCAUAAAUUCUGAACAAUUACCAAGUCGUAACUUAUUAAAUUUGUAAACCAACCCAACUGGAAUCAUCUCAAUCGGACUUCUGGAUCUCGAGUUACAAAAUUAACAAGCUGACAGUGUCGGUCGAUAGGUUCAGAUUCUGAGUGCUUUACUAAUUCGCAUACACCUCCCAGACAGAUACACCAAAAAUUCUGAAAAAUUUACAGAUAGUACUCCACGAAAUUCUGAAACUAACCCCACUGGUUUCAUGUCAUUUGGACUUCUGUAGCUAGAGAUAUAAAUAAAAAAGUACUGGCGUGUCAGUUAAUGUCGAGAACAGAAUUGAAUGUCGCUUAGCUUGCGUGAUGGAUAGAUUUAGACAGAUGGUAGAUCAUGAUUAAGGAAGAUUAAAUACUGAUUUAGAACAGAAAUAAAACCCAACUAAGCACUUUAUUUAUUAAGACCAGUAUCGUGUGGCAAUUGCCCCACAUACCGCACUCAUUACAAAAUCCAACUCAAACAUGUAGCACAAAACCAAUCAUCUAAGCACACUUUAACUAACACACUCGAACGACGUCUAACGAUUACAAGAAUUUAAACUAAAACACUCCUAAUUUCCUAGAGGUCUUCUGCGGCGGUGCCGGGCGAGUCGUAGCGGGGACGCUUAGGCGACGGCGACGAAGCGGGAUGAACAGCAAACUCCUGCGGCGGCGGUGCUCCCGUCGCGGCAGCCAUAUUCGCAUCCCUCUCCCACCGGAGUUCCUGAACCUCCUGUUGAAGCUCCUGGAUGUGGUUGUUUGCUUCAUUCAAUGCGGUGAGAGCUGCCGACGUGUACUUGCGGAGGAAGUCUGUAGCCAUGUCAACCCCAUCGUUAGUAGCGAUGAAGGUUCUUGCUUCCCCACUAGCUCGGUAAGGAAGGAACCGAUGGUAAGUGUGCUGCAAUCGCGGCCGUUCCUUGUGGGAGACGACCUCAAGUGCCCUCCUGGCGGCCUCGGCAAUGCCGGAUUCCAUGGUCCUCCUUAUGGUCACAUCAUGGUGAAAAGCCUUCACCUCCCAUCCUCCCUCGUGCUCCUCACGAAGGACAACCUUCACCUCCCAAAAAGUGGGAUAGCGAGGGUGGGUGAACCGGGAGCACUUGUAGAGUGGCCUCAUGCCGUACCCCAAGCGGUGACAAGUCCACCUGAGUAUGUCGGCCAUGUGCACUCCUUGGCCAUAAUCUUCCUUCACCCAUUUGAUCCAUGUCUCGGGCUCGGGAUCUGCUUCGGGCUCAUCAUCCGUCAAGUCGACGACCGGUACGGGCGUCGGGGCUGGUGCAGGAGCGGGCGCCGGUGCUGGCGACGGUGCUGGUGACGGCGUGGUCUCCUGCUCCACGGUCACGGCGUCCCCGUCAGAGUCAUCCCCCGGAUGCUGGAAGAUCUCUUCCUCUUCUUCCUCGUCCCAAGGCUCCAUGGGGGCGUACGACGGCGCGAUGCCAUGACGCGGCGGACGGGUGCUCUUGCGUGCGGUCAACCGGGUGCGAGCCAUCUAACAGAAAGAAAGAAGAAAAUUUUAGAAUAAAAUUUUGAACAAAGCUAGAUAAUAAAAUAGCAAUAAGGAUGAGACAAAUCAAGUUUAAGAAUAAUUAAGUAGAUUUAAAUUAAGAAAGGUAGGAAUGGCUACUAGAUUAUUAUAAUCCUUAAAUACGACCAUUUUCUAACUAGGCUAACGUCCUACAGUCAACACGGCUCUGGUACCACUUUUGUCACACCCGAUUUUAAGGACAAAAUCGAGUGCAUUAAAUACAUGUGCGCCAGGAUCAAGUUACACACAUGUACGACAAUAGUGAAUAGUAAAGCCAGUGCUAAAUCGAAUAAAGAGAGUAUUAACCAUUAUUACAUGACCGAAUGUCUCAAAUAAACCACAAAGUCUAAUUAUUACGCAGCGGAACUCCAAAGAUGACGACGACUCCAUAGGCAGCUGACUGAAGAAACGUACGCCUAGAACUCCUCGAAGUCGUGGAAGUACUCCUCUUCCCAAUUAACUUGGUCUGAACAGCGGUUUUGCAAGGGUGAGUACACUUAUGGUUGGUACUCAACAAGUCGUGGGAAGUAGUGUAGUGUAAGGCUAAUUCAAGGUAUGGCUAAGGCGUAAAUAGCAUUCGCUUUUAAUUAAGUUGGUCAAAUUUUAUUAGCAUUUACUAAGUAUAAGUUCAUACCACCCGAAAUUAAACAUGAACAUAAAGUAAACCACAUGUGCAUGAAAUGAUAACAAAUUAAAUCCAUCUUCCGAUAAUAUUAUCAUGUGAGGGUCCAGGCCGCUCUUAACCGUGAGCACGGCUGAUUGAUCAGUUUAACACUCUGCAGAGGUGGCACAUCUUUACCCACAAGUCGCGUAAAAGUUCAAAAGAACUUUGGACCCAACCAUGCGGUGUUUGCAAGGCACCAUACCACACUUCCGAGGUGUGAUUGCAUAGGGACGCUACGAGGCCUUUACAAAGAUUCAUUAAUCAGUGGUAACCCGCUAAGGUUUCGGUGUCUGGCGUGCACCACCCAUCCCAGGUAAAAUGCAACGACUCAGUCCCCCCCCUUGAAUCAUCACGAGUAAGGUCACCCCAGACUAAGGUUUCUAAUUAAUCAGCCAAGACCAGAGCUAUUUAGUCUUGUGGUAGCACUGUUUUCCUGGGUGGUCGCUCCAUGUUCUGAUUAACAAAUAAUGAUCUUGUCUUAAUGAAAGGUAUAACAGAAAUAAGGCAAGAUUAAGCAUUGUUUUUAGUUAAACCACCAUGUACCAAGUAAGCACUAAGCAUGAGCUACCCAACAUAAAGUAAACCGGUUGGUCAAGGCAAAGGUAAAACAAUCUAGGCCAACCUUAAUUGGGACCCAUCAAUUUAAUCUUAAUAUGUGCACAGCAUAAAUGUUGAGUACGAGAAAGUAAAGGUGUAUAGGACAAAAAGGUAGUGAUCAAGGACACGACUUGCCUUCUUGGCCUUGCUCCUGCUGUUCGUACUCCUCGAAGGCUUGAUCGGCAACUCCCUCGAACUGCGGGGCGUCUACACGCAUCACACGAGCACAUACAAGCAAACAUGGGCAAAAGUAAGAAAACAGUAUACCAAACAUAGUCAAACAGAGAAAACAAGCUUGAAAAGAUGAUCUACGCUUUAAAACGAACACGCGGAUAUAAAGAACGCGAAAAACGGAGUUAAGAUGCAAAAGAUAUGAUUAAAACAAAAUCCAGGGACUUUUCUGUAAGAAAAACAAAACUUUUAGGGCCUAUCCGCGAAAACCGAGGGCUUAUACGUAAUUAUGCGUAUAAACCGAGGGUCUGAUGCGUAAAAACAUCAAACCCGGACGGCGGGUUGAUUUCUGGAAAGGUCAAGGGUUAAACCGAAAAAUGCGAGGGCAGAUCUGUAAAUACUUUCAACGCGAUCUGGACCGCGGGUUGAUUUGCGAAAAAGGCGGGGGCUAAAGUGCAAAAACUGCACGGCGCGGCUCGGUUGACCGGUACGCGAUCUUGAUUGACUCGCGUCCGGCCGUCGGAUUAAGAUCCGACGGUCGCGGUGAUCCGCGACAUCGCGGCGGCGGCGGCGAGCGGCGGCGAGCGGCGGCAAGCGGCGGCGGGUCGCCGGAGUUAGGCAAAAUAGCGCCACGAGGCACGGUUUAACGCGCGGGUUGCACCAAAAAAGAGAGGGGAACACGUCGAUCCCGUUUUGGGGGUUCUUGUCGACGGGGGCUCACCGGCGACGGCGAACGGCGGCGAGGAAGAGGCGGCGGCGCUAGGAGCUCGGGCGGCUAGGGUUUCGGGGAGCUGCGGCGCUGGUUUUGGGCGGAGGAGACUGGGAGGAGGCGGCGGCUUUUAUAGGGCUUGGAGAUAGAGCCGGCGCGGGUUCAAAUCCCCCGGAGGAGUCGGAGCGGAUGGAGUCCGGGGCGGAGACGGCGCGCGGCGGUUGCGGAGUUCUGACCGGAUUCGGCCGGAGGUGGGAGACGAUGGGUGGGGUCCACCCGUCAGUGGCGGAGGGGAGCGGUAGACGGGCCGGCGCGACCGUGGGCUGGCGCGCGCUCGUGGGCUGCGGGGAGCGGGAGAGAAGCGGCGAGCGGGCGCUGGCGGAGCAGGCCGAGCGGAGGUAGAGCUGGGCCGCGGAGAAAAAGGAGGAGGCCGGCGGGCUGCUUCGCAGGCCGGUAAGGAUGAGGCGGCCGGGCCGAAGAAGAAAAAGAAAAGGAGGGACAAGGAGCUUUCGGCCGAGGGAAAAGAAGAAGAAAAAGAAAAGGAAGAAGAAAAGGGAAAAGGUUUUGGAAUUUGAAUUUAAAUCUGAAAUUCAAAAUUUGAUUCAAACUCAAGCAACCAAAAAUUAUGCUCCAGCAUGAAUGCACAAAUAAUUCCUAUGAUGAAUUAAUUGAAUUAAAGAAAAUGAAUUUAAAUGCCUAGAAAUUAAAUAACACCCUAAUUUGAGCAAAUUUUAAUGAAUUUGAAUUAUUGAAAUUUUGGGUGUUACAUUGGUACUACAUCUCAUGUAGUAGAGGCGAUUGUAAGAAGCAACUUGAAAAGAAGUUUGAUCACUACUAUUGCAAUAAAUGUGACAAGAGAGCCGAACCUAAAGCCCAGUAAAUUAUUUAGUAGUUUACAAUCUUAUUAUAAUACUUCUAUUUCUAAUAGGAGAAUAAUAUUUUCAGAUUCAAAUUAAGCUUCAAAUAAGUGAUCCAACAACAAGUGCAACUUGUGUACUUUUGACAAGGAAGCAGAAAUGAUAAUUAAUGAAUGAGCAGAUUCGAUGAUCACCUCAGUUGAUCAUGAUAAUAAGUAGCUACCAAAAUCAAUUCAGGAAAUAUGUGAAGAAACAUUGAUUUCUCAAUUCAGAUUGACCGAGUACAACUUGACAAGUUUUAGACCUGAUUAUACUGUUUCAAAGAUAUUUUUUCCAAAAGAAAAGGGCAGUUCAAGAAUUGGUAUGGAAAGUGUAAAAAAGGUAACACUUUAUUAUUAAUUUUUUAUUGCACUUUUUUCUUUUGAAUCCGUAAUACUUAAUAAUUUUACUAUAUCAAUGAAACAAAUUCUAACCUAAAUUUAUUUUCUUUUUUAUUAUUUGUAGGAAGUAGAAGACAACUCAGACAAAUGCUACACGAUAACUACCGAGAAUGAAGAGGUAGACACUGAUGACUCUUUUACCGAGAAAGUAACAUUCGUAGAAGAAGCCAUAAGGACUGGGGAAAGAUUGGCUAGAAAAGUAUACUCACUUCCAUGUCAGUGUUCAUUCUAUUUACAAUACAUGCAAAAAAAAUAUUAUUCAUGCAAAAUUGCAGGUCUACUAAGCAUUAAAGGAAUAGCGGAUAGUGCAAUAUGUAAUCUGAGCAGCAUGCAUUACAAAGUGCUCUACUGCAAUUAAAUUAAAAAACAUGAUAUAUGUUGAAUUCUUAGACUUUAUUAUUAUACUUUUCUACGUGACAAUUCACAAUUUUUUAGAAAAAAGAAGAUCCCAGAAGAAGUGACCAUGAAAAAAGGUCUAUGACCAGCAAUAAGAAAAAAUGCAAGCAUAGAAACAAAUCCGUAGAAAACAUAGAAAAUAAGGUACUCCAUAAACAAAAGUAUUCUCUUAUAUUUUUAUUAAAUAUUUUUUUAACACUUGACAAGUUCUUUUUUAGGAUCAAUAUAUCAGCAAUUCAGAUGUCAUUGGAGAUGAAACCUUAGUUCAUCCAAAAGGUCAAAAAAAAACAUCUGAAGAAAGGUGUUUGGCUGAAAAGGAAAAGCAAAAAAGUGGUAAUGCAGACAAACACAUGCAGAAAAAUAUAAAAACAUGUCAUAGGGAGGCAGACCAAUCUUGCAAGGAGGUAUAGACGAAACGUGAUACACGACCUGCCUACCUUGUCGUGGAUACCCCAAGAAGAUGUCAUAGAGGUGCAGACCAAGCUAGCAAGGAGGUCGAAACGUGAUACACGGCCUGCCUACCUUGCCGUGGAUAUUAGCCCUGAGAUCAUUCUACUGUUCAAGGAAUAACACUCAAUGCUGCUGCUGCUGCUGACCUGGCUCCAUAAAGUUAUACUCCUCUAGGUGCUUGCACUAACUUUAUCUGAAGUAUUAUUCUCUCUGCACUGUAUAUAUGGUUAUGGAGUUUGCUGGAGUAUCCGGGGCGAAGAACCUACAUAAUACGUCUUGGAACUAAUUGACAUUGAUUCACAGACAAACUCUACAAGGUGCUGUUCUUGCCAUUUUAGAGCAUCCAAAGGACUAUAAAUAACAUAGUUUACCAUAUACCAUAUACCAUAUACCAUAAUAUGUUAGCUAAAAUAAGAGCAUACACAUGUUGCAGGAGUCCAAAAGCACCGGUUGAGGACCAGGUACAUUGAAUUACUAGAAAAAGACAGGGGACAAGGUUUAGGUAACCACAUGAAACAUUUGAAUUUAUUGUACUAUGAACACUUAGUUACCAUGCCAGGAGCACAUAGUUAACACUAACAUUUAGCCACUUUAGAUCAUCCCGAAUCACCAAUGACCCUCAAUAGUGACAAAUUUUGGUUUAAAUGCCAUCACCAAUGAUCCUCAAUAGUGACGUAUUUAGGUUUAAAUCCCGUCACUAAUAACCCUCAAUAGUGACCUGUUUUGGUUUAAAUCUCAUUACCACUGAUCCUCAAUAGUGAUGUGUUUUAGCAAAACAUGUUAUCAAUGACUUGUCAUUGGUGACGUGUUAAAACGCGUUAUCUCAAUGGCAAAUCAUUGGUGACGUGUUAUCUCAAUGUUAUCAAUGUUCUAUUCUUUUCAACAAUACCAGCUCGUUCCUCCGUUUUUAUUCCACCAAUACAAGCACCACCUUGUAACAUUUCCUAUGUUUUUUUUCCUUUUGUCUGUUUUCUCACUACAUGCGUUGCUCUUUCAUGCAUUUUUUUCCAUUCCUGUAUUCCAAAUAGGUCUACAUGAACACAAAAUGAACUAGGGGACAGAAAAAGCCAGUGAAGCCAAUUUUGAGCUUCACCAGCUACUUGCUACAUAAAGUGUGCUAUAGUGACGUGUUUUAGCAAAACAUGUUAUCAAUGACUUGUCAUUGGUGACGUGUUAAAACGCGUUAUCUCACUGGCAAAUCAUUGGUGACGUGUUUUAAAAAAACAUGUCACCGUGAGAGUCAUUGGUGAAGGGUAAUUAAAAUGCGUCACUAAUGUUGUAGCAUUAGUUAUGAUAAUUUAGUAACGCAAAAAUCUACCAUCAGUAUUGAGCUUUAGAGCCAUCGCUAAUGUGGGUUUCUUACAUAGUGAUGCAAGCUCUACAAGGUGCUGUUGCUGCCAUUUUAAAGCAUCCCAUGACUACAUGUUAAUAACAUAGUUUACCAUAUAUCAUAAAAAUAUUAGUUACAAUAAGCACAUACGCAUGUGGAAGAGUCCGAAUGCACCGGUUGAGGACUAAACACAUUGAAUUACUAGAACCAAAUGUAUGUUUAGAACAAAGACAGGGGUCAAGGUUUGGGUAACCGCAUUAAAAACAUUGGAUUUUACUGUACAUGAACACUUAGUUACCAUUACCAUGCCUUGAGCACCUAGUUACAACAAACAUUAAUUUAGCCACUUUAGAGCUUCCAGAAUCGCUAUAAAUAAUAUACCUACGCCGUACCAUGAAAACAUCAAGAAGAGAGACGGAUACAUGGACCACCAUCAAGCGAGUAGUGACAGCACGCACAAGAAUACCCGGAACCUGUUAGCUUGUCUGUAGUGAUCUGUUUUCUUCCCCAUAAAAUCCAUGAGUAUUGCCACAAAUAAUGAAAGAGGCUGACCAAGCUAGCAAGGAGGUAGAGCAAACGUGAUACACGGCCUGCCAAGAUUGCCCUGGAUACGCCAAUAAGAGCGACAGAUACAUGGAUCACACCAAUAUGGUGAAACGUAUAUUCAUCACACAAGCAAAGCUGGUCAGUUUAUCCAUGGUCAAAUUGUGGUCUUUGUUUUCACUUGAGAGCUAAUUGAGGCACUAUAAUAUGGGCAGGCCUAUCUUCAACAGACAUGACAGCUACAGGGAACUUGACAUAAUUUGCUGGGCCGCCUGUGCACAAUUAUUUGUUUUAUUGUCCUUGCAUAGAAUGCUAAAAUACUCUUUACAAAAUGUUGGAUCUAAUAUUUGAAAUAUAGAGUAGUAAUCAUAUAUUGAUCAACAACUUGAAAUUAUCUGUACAUUCUCGGUGAAGCUGUUGAACUAAUUUUUGCAAAUUAUUAAUUCAUCUCAUUACGUAAAGAAAAAAGUAAGUGGAUAAGAUAUUUCGUGGACCACAUCACUGCAAACAUGUCAUGGAGAGACAGACCAAGGAGGCAGGACGUGAUACACGACUUACCCUAGGUUGCCGUGGAACCGCCAAGAAGAGAUACAGAUACAUGGACCACACCAUCUUGGGAGUAGUGACAGCAUAUAUGCAGAAGAAUACCCCGUGCCUAUUUGCAUGCAUGUCUCAAGUGAUCUGUUUUCUUCAGAAAAUACAUGAGCAUUGCCAGAAAGAAUGGCAAGAGACAAACAUGUCAUAGAGACUUGCAUGUCUUGCCUUGGAUACGCCAAGAAGAGGGACACAUACAUGGAUAACACAAAUCUAGUGACACGUAUAUUCAUCACAAAGGCAAAUCUGAUAAUUUUAUCCAUGGAGCAGACCAAGGAGAAAUUGAUGACGGACAUGUGAUCUCUGUAUUCAGUUGAAAGCUAAUUGAGCUACACUAAUAUGAGCAGGACUAUAUUCAAGAGACUUGUUGAGAGCUACAGGGAACUUGUAAUAAUUUGCUGGGCGGCCUGCGCACAAUGAUUUGUUAUACAUAGUUGAAAUAUUUCAAGAAUUUAUCAACCUCAUACUCUGAAACCCUUGGUGCAAUGUACUCUGCUUUCCGAGGUAGACUGUUCACGUAAAAUGAGGUCAUGCGUAAGACGGAAUCGGAUUGGAUUCACAGGGAAUCAGAUUUGGAUAGCACCUUUUAGCAGGUUUUUAGUCAAAUGCAAAUUCGGAUCCACAUGUGGUUGAAUGCGAGUUCAAAAUUCUACUUGGAUAUCCAUUUAAUUUAGGUGAUAGCAAUUAGCACAAAAUGUUGGAUGAACAAAAUCAUAGUUAGACAUACAAUUACAUGUAUGGUUAAAGUAUAAUACAAUACACCAAGAUUAUUCCUUGAAAAUAUUUCUUAAAAAUAUUAUAAUAAAUGAAUAAAUAUAAUUGUGGCCACCAACAAAUAGUCGGUGGUCGCUAAGUUGGAGCCAUUUCUGGUUACUAAUGCGGCCUUCUCCUCGACCAGCGACGACAGCUGAGCUUGUUCCUUCUGACACUAAAUCAUCAGAGUCUUCCCUCCACUACUAUAGAAUGCACCUUUAGCACCAAUUGGGAAAUCCCCUUCAGUAUUGGAUGCUGCAACCAGUGCUAUAUAUCAAAAUGGAGACUAAAAGCCUCGGUCUUGGGUACCGGUUGCAUAACGCAUUACUAAAGGAGGCAAAAGAGAAAUGUAACAAAAAAAAUAUUUUGAAUUCCAAGAAUGUUUCACUAUUCAAGAUGACUAGCUGAGAGUCAACAGACAAGAUACUAGGAAUGUGGGUGCUUGAAUGCAUUUGUACAGAGGUCAUACUAUUUACAAACUCUUCUAUGUUUCCAUAUGACUACCUACUUCAAUGUCACGCGAGCCAUUCAGCUGGACACAUGGCACACUAGCUUGCAUGUCGAAUCCAUGAUUAAUUAUUUGCACUUGUGAUCUCUUACCAGUAUUUGUCCAGACUAGAAACGUGCAACACAUUUUUAGGAUAUGGACACGCAUAUAUUUGGACUAGUAUACAGGUCACCUUUGGAUGCGUACAAGGAUGACCGGGAGGGACUAAUGGAUACAAGGAAGGGACCAUCAGGAUUAAUAUUGACAUAUGCCACAUGACAAUCUUCAUUGUCAUGCAAUCCCUAUCAACAAUCAUGGAAUCCCUAGUGUACUAAUCCCUGGAGGGUUGUGUGGAAAUUUAUUUUACCUUGCGGUGAAAAUCUCAUGAGCAGUCAUUAGUUAAGCUGACUAGCUGAGAUAUAAUAGACAAGCUAGUAAGAUUGGGAGCAUCAAUGCAUCCAUACAGGGUCACAAUAUCCUUUCCAUUCACUUUUAUAUAUAACCCUACGAAUACAAGUCCAACGAAAUGCGGGCCUUUCGAUCAAGAUAAAUUAAAUGGCCCACUUGUAUUUCUAAUCCAGGAUUAACUAUGCCCUCUGUUCAUCUCUUGCAAGCACGUGCAACACAUUUUCACGAUAUGGACAUGCAUGGAGGUUAUUAUACUGUUUGGACAAACUCUGAUGUGCCAUGACCUAAAUGCUUAGGGCCUGUUUGGUUUGAGUUGCUUAUUAUAAGCAACUUAAAGUUGCUUAAAGUUGCUUAUUUGAAGUUGCUUAUUUUUAGUCUAAACUGUUUGGAUACCCUUGCUUAUGAGCAUUGAAUGAGUUGGACAUUGUCAAAUUUGCCCCAUGUGUUGCUACCCCUCCAAUUUGCCUCCCCACCCUUCUUCUUCCUGCACACGUCCGAUCCCGGGGGCCGACGGCGGGCAGGGAGCAGCAGCAGCUGGCCAGGGCGGCGGUGGGGCGGGAGCGGCGGCGCACACCAGCACGCGCUCGCACGCCAGGUGCUAGGGCGCGGCGAGGCAGUCGUCGUAGCCCACCGGGAGCGGGUGCUCGGGCGCGAGGCGGUACUCGACGGAGAUGCCGAGCGUCGGGCGCGCGGCGGCGAGCGCGUUGAGGAAGCGAUGGUAGUGCGGCGACGUCGCGGACUCCGCCACGAAGCCGCCGCCGUGGACGUACACCACCACGGGCAGCUUCGUCUUGCCGUCGGCGGCCGCGGCCGCGGCCUGGGGUGGCAGGUAGAGGCGGACGGAGCAGGAGCCGAGGUCGACGUCCCUGGAGUCGACGCCCGUGGCGGCGUCCAGGCUGGGCCCGACCGGCGGCGGCACGAGCGGGCGCUCGAUGCGGCCGCUCUUGUAAAUCCGACGGGUCUGUGCGGAGGCGGGCGGCGGGCGGGAGCGGCGGGUGGGAGCGGCGGCAGGUGGUGCGGAGGCCGGCGGCGGCGGGUGGCGCGGAGGAAGGGGAGCUGGUGAGUGGUGACAGGGGAGGGGGGGAGAGAGAGGGGGGGUAGGGUGCAUUGAAUGAGGGCAGGAGGUGUAAAGUGCACCUUUUAGUCCCCAUGAGCAACCAUAAGCAGCCCAAGAGUUGCUUAUUUGCUUAUAAUAAGCAACCUCAUAAGCAAGAGUGAUUGGUUUCAUAAGCAACUUAUUUGCUUAUUUUAAGUUGCUUAUGCAUAAGCAUGUGAAACCAAGCAGGUCCUUAACCUAUGGUUGUGGCACCACACAGUACAUAGUAUUUAAUAAUGCUAUUCGUUUGGUAUGUGCACAAGGGCACGCAUGAAAUGUCUGGCCCACGGUAAACAAGUACGGACGCUGCAAAUAAUCUACUCUGCUCGUCCAGUCCCUAGCCUAUAAAUAGAUGCCAUGCUAGCUCUUGUUGUGCUCACAAUUAAUCCUGACUACACACGAGCUUCUCUCCCUGGCCAAGACACAAUCAUAGUAUGAUGAAGAACAUGGCACUAGCCGGCAAUGGUAUGAAGAACUUAAUCCUCGCUGUUCUCUUACUGUGUCUAGUUAUAGGGCAGAUACAAGUGGAAGCUAAGAGCUGCUGCCCAUCCAUUACUGCAAGAAAUAUCUACAAUGCCUGCCGUAUCACGGGUACAUCCCGUCCAACGUGUGCAAAACUGUCAGGCUGCAAAAUUAUCAGCGGGGACAAAUGCAAGCCCCCUAACGACCACCUCACCCUUGACCCGGACACUGGUAAAUAAUAAAUUUAUCUCACUUGAUUUCUUCGUGUUUUGAGUCGUUAAUGUAUUUUCCAUCUGAUGAAACGUAUUGGUUUUGCAUUGAAGAGGAAGUUAAUGUGCUUAACUUCUGCAAGUUGGGGUGUGCGUCGUCUGUGUGCAACAACAUCAACGCUGGUAAGCACCUUUUGCUCAGACGGAGAAAACAAUAAUCAUUAAUUAGCGGCAGCUAGAAUCCUAUAAUCUAAUAUAUUUAUAUAUAUAUAUAAUUUUAUCAGCUCUGGGAAAUGAAGAGGCGAACGAUGCCGUUGAGAGUUGCGACCAAGCCUGCUCUAGCUUCUGCAACGUGCACGUUGGCGCUGCCACCGUGGUUGCUUAAGCAAAUGCAUCCAACUGGAUCGUCCUUGUGCUAAAUAAUUGGAUAUCGUAUCCACUUAAAGCUGCCUUGUGUAGUACGUUUUUGUUUGUGUCUCUCUUUAUAUUCCAAUAAGGUCGGUGAUCUUGAUGCCACACACUCAGACGUGUGUUCAUCUCCAGAUACUACUCCAUGCUACCUGCCCUUUGUGUUUUGUUCAAUAACUGGGUAUCAUAUCCCAGCCAGUGUGCCAUCUGUUUUGUGUUUAUUUCCUUCUAGUUUCAAAGGGGUUAUCAUGAUGUUACCUUCUUUCGAUAUGGUGCUUUGCAUGACUACUGUUGUAUGGUACCAUCUUGUUGGCCAAUAAAUACAUCUUAUCCUAUGACCCUUUGCUAUGACCCUUUGCAAAUAAGUACAAGAUUGUUAAAUACUCGGUAUAAAUUGACUACUGCUGUGAGUUCCCUUUCAGCUUAUCGUAGGCAUACAUUAUUGCUAGCACGGUGAAGACAACCAACACGAAUGGUCAAGUAAACGUACCGGUACUUUUGUAUACCAACACCCUUGCUUAAAUGUACCGGUGUUACUCCCCACUAGCACAUAUAUUCUUAUAUGCUAGCCGGCUUGAAAAUUAACCGAUUAAAAUAAUUAUUUCAAGACAGAAAUAACUUAUCGGCUUCUCGAAGCAUGUGUAAUGUGAAUUCAAGGACUUGAUGGAAGUUGAAUCGCUUAAUCUAGAUUGCUUUCAGGAUUUUGGGUAACUAAAUUUAACAUUUGCACAUACAAAUGUUAAUGUACAAAUAUUAAAUAUAGUUACCCAAGCAGAAUAUGAAGAUACUCUAUAGUAUAUAUAUACUAUAUAAAUCUAGUUAACAUUUAGUCUAAAUGUUAAAUCUAGUUACCUAAAAUCCUGAAAGCAAAAUGUAUAAAUAUAUAUCUUUUAAGGAAUCCCAAAGCAAGAGUUCAGUGGCAUUCUAUAGUCCCAUGCUGCUAGUUUGAGUUGGUCGAAGCCAACUUAAAUAGGAGAGCUCUCUCACUUCUCUAAAUACGUAACUGAAGGAGAGAAGGGGGCUUGGUUACACAACGCACGCACGCACGCAUAUUUGCGUUCUUUUCGCGUAACCAACCGCGUGACUUGAAACUUGCGACGUAGCGUGCUGCCAAGUCAAGUUGAUAUAACCUUUUUGCCGUAGGCGUGUAAUCUUUUGACAACGGUCAUUGGAGGUGAUAAGCACGCAGUCAAUACCUUAAUCCUGAGUUAAUAGGGCGGUUACUACUGCCAAUUAGUGGGGCAAUUUUGUAGGGGAAACGGUUAGCAGAGGGCUACCAUCUUCUCUAUAAGAAGUUCUGGAGACGUCCAGGAACACACAUGUACAUGUGAGAGACCCACGAAUUCCUUCCCAUCUCCCUUUUCCAUCUGGUGAAGUGUGCUAUGGUACUGAGCUGCUGGAUCUCGCCGGCUCUUCUCCUUGGCGUGCACCGAGGAGGAGGGUGAGCGGUAUCUCCGAGCUAUUGCCGUCAGGAAGCCUGCACGAGGGACAACAAUAAAGUUUUUGGGUAGCGCAACUACGCAACCGCUCGAUUCGAUCGACUAUGUUCUGCGCUGCCUCAUCUUCGAUCUGCACUGCAACACGUAACCCUGCAGCAAGUCUACACAAGGACGGAGCACUAAUCUGUAAGUCCUAGAUUGGUUUCUUACAGAGUUGUAGGUUACACAAGAUCUAGAAUUGUUACAUACUUAUUAUUAUGGGUUACAUGAUGUUUUGUACGGUUACGUCUAUUUUGCAUAUGCUAUUUUUACAUACCGUUUACAUGCAUAUGUAAUGGUUACGCCUAGCUAUUUGAAUCUAGAAUUGGGUUACAUAGCAGUAGCAAUGACUUACGUAAUAUGCCUCAUGUUUAUAUCUGGUAGAAUUUAACACGUAUCUCCAACAUAUUUUGAGGCAGUAUAAAUUUCAAUUCCUUUUGCUGCUCUGUUAAAUCCCGUCUUUCGUGUGGCCCAACACUCUAGUAUGCAUGUAGCACCAAGCUUGUUUGAGCCGCUUUGUGCUCUGAUUUUGCUGUCUGUAUCAGGUUGGACUGUUUCUUUGUCUUGCGAUGUAUAGCUUCAUAUCUUCUAGAGGUUAGACAGCAAAACCCGCGUUCUCUUAAGGCAACAACUCGAAGAAUCUGCAGCGCUCCUGAUAUAUCACUGCUGCAGAAACAAUCUUUAGUACUGAUUUCCAACCCCCUUUAGUAUCGGUUUGGCAAUCAGUACCACUACGUCGGUACUAAAGGGAGUUCUCUAGAAUCGGGUCAAAUAACUGGUACUAAAAGUGCUCCUCUACUACCAGUUGGUAACACCAAUAGGUAGUAACUUUUUUUGCACCCAAAAAAUUAAAGAAAAACAGCCGGGAGGCUCGCGCACACACGCAUCAUGAGUAAUAUGCGCGUGCAUGGUUUGUGGGAUUCCAACCCACGACCAAGCUAUAAGCACGUAGUUACAAAAAAAUUAAACACUUAGACAUUUUAGAGCAUCCCAAAUAACUACAAAUUCUUUAGUUUACCAUAUACCAUAAAAUAUUAGUUAAAAUAAGAGCAUACGCACGUCGGAAGAGUCCCAAUGCACCGGUUGAGGAUCAGACCAGGCACUUUGAAUGCACAUGCCAUAAGAUAAUUCUGCAGGACGAUGAUUGCAAUAAUGGACCAUCGAGAAGAUAGGGGCGAUGGGGUUGCCUCAUCAAUUAUGACUUGGCGCAACAAGACCAGCAAAGUCUUUAUCGACAGGGGUGGAUCAAGGGGUGGGGCGGGUAGAGCUCCAAUCUUCCUACCGCCGCUCGAACAAUGGAGCCCCCCUUAGCCCCUCCAUAAAUUUUUAGGUAGAAGAAAAAAGAAGAGAAGGGAAGGAAGGGGAAGAAUAGGGAGCCCCUCCUAAGUAGGUCGCCAUCGUGCUUCCCAACGCAUGAUCGCCGCACCGCAUCCAUUCCUCUACAAGCCUCCAGCGUCUCUCCUGCCGCUACCUCUGAACCAUGUGCAGCUGCAGACCCAACUAGUGUCUUGUCACCCAUCUCAAUCCCAACAGAGCGGCGGCUCCUGCCAGCACAAAUCUCCCUCCGCCUGUUCUUCACGAUCGAUGGCCACCACAAGCAUAAACCUCGCCUUCGCAUCCACGCAAAAGGGUCGCCGGUGUGCCUUCUCGCAUCGCUUCUCAGCCUCCUUCACUUGCGGCUGGCCAAGAACCGUGCCACCACCUCGGGUGCGCGCCACCGCUCCAGGGCCGCUACCCCAUGCGUGCGGCCGCCGCCGGCCACCACGCGUGUGCAACCGUGUCGCACCGCUUCCCUGCUCUGUGCCACCACUGCUACUGCACCACCAGCUCCACCACCUUGGGCUGGUCGCCAGGGUGACUGAUUGGUGGAUUAUUACUACAAAUAAGUUCCUUAUUAUCUGCAACUACUAUUAACUCAGGGAUACAUGCGUCUUUUGCUUCUCCUGUUAAUAUGUCCUAAAAUAUCUAGAAUGCCUUAUAUUUCUGGACGGAGGAAGUAUUUGAAUAAAAUGAACCAAUUUUAAAAAAUGUGUUGUACACUACUACAGAAAGAACUAUCAGUGUCAAACCCAAAAAUGUCGUCACUGCCAGUUUUGGGCAUCGUUGGUGAAAGGUUGGCGGUGAUGGGUAUCCCCUUCAACAACGGCACUAGAGCUAACAGUGAUUGACAUUAGAAAACGAAAAAGGGGACCCACCUAGCCACCCCUGCAACCCGGCUGGCCGUGCCUCCCGUCAUCCCCACCACCUCGCCUCCCCCGUGACCCCCCGCCGGCGCCCUUGCGCCUAGCCCCCUCGCCUGCCUGGCCGGCCACCCUCGUCACGAGAGAGAGGGGUGCAUGUUGUAUAAUUGCGUGAAUUUUUAAUGUUUAAUUUCAUGUAAGUUUCAUAUAAUAAAUUGUACAAGUUUUAUUGUAUAUAUGAAUUCCAUAUAUAUAUAUUUAUAAUUUAAUGUAUGGUUUCAUGUGUAUAUUUCAAUAAUGUGUAUAUUUAGUAGAUAGCCGAUUUUCUUUUUCUACAAGACAAGGGUUGAUGUAUAAUUACGUGUAUAUGUUUAUUGUACGGGCAAUUAGGACAAGUUUUGUAUAAAUUUCUUUUAUUUCAUGGUUGUUGUAUGGUUUCAUGUAUAUACAUUUAUUGUACUACUUGAGACAAUUUUUAAUUUAAUGUUUCUAUGGUUACAUGUGUGUAUAACUAAUUGUAUUAUUAGUUAAGAUGGGAGCCAAAGAGGAUGAAAGGUAUAUAAUGGAGCAGAUUAUUGCUGGCGGUAGUGGCUCAAACGUUGCAAGAACCUACAUCAAGGGUGAGGGUAGCUAGGUGGACAUGUACCUCAACAUGUCCAGUGAUGGCAAUGACGAUGAGGAGCACGAGCAUGACGUUUAUGAUAGUGCGGAACAAGACAUUGCAGAAUUGGAAGGUUCUAAUGAGGUGUGCUUCAUGUUGAUGAUCUGGUUGGCUUUUUUUCUUUGGUCACACCUUAGUUACCAUAGAACUUCGUCUCGGGAGAAGAUUGGAGGUGCUAUGGUGAUUGGAAUUUUAUUGCCUCCAAAUAUGAUUUCCAUCGAAUCAUAUCCCUUGUAUUUAUCUUCUUUUUAUUUGUGAGAGCAUCUUCUUUAUGCUUGCAAAACAAUUCAAGUGCACAUACUACACCUAGGGUGAUGAUUAGGAGUAGAAACAAUUGCCAACAAACGAACACCACAUCCUAAGAUUCUUAACUUGUGGUAUAAUUAGUCUAGUAAAAAGAAAGAUAAAAACCUAAUGGGUGUACGUGAGUGCAAUGCGUAUAUGCAUAUGAGUGGAAGGCAUAUAAGCAAAGAUAAUAUUUACACAUAGAUCUAAGCACCAUGUUUACAACUAAGUUGCUGAAUUUCUCCAUAGCUAUAGAGAUUAAUGAACCAAGGUCAAAACACCAUGUCUAUCCCAAGAUCAGUAAUUCUUUAUAGCACAAGAAAAAGAAAGCGCAUUGCAAAGUUUAUAAACCAACCAAUGCAGCAUGAAAACAAGAUGAAUAGCUAGCAAGGUUUAUUAAACUGAAUGAUGACGGUCUGCAAGCAAGUUUGAACACCAUCUUUACACAAGAUUGCAAAUGGAAAAUUCCCAUAUGAAGAACUAACAUGGAUAUGAAAUCAUUCAUCAUAAAGCGUAAAGAACAACCAAGCCAACCAUAUGCAAAGCAUGAAUGGAAUGCAAUGAAGGUGCAAGAGAACAUUUUUGGAUGAACCCAUUAUGAUGAUGGCAAAAUGCGCCGUGCCCCCCAGCCCCCGCGGUGAGAUCCCGCCGCUCGCUGCCGCCAGACCCUAUUAGGCCUCCACCGGCAGGUCCACCCACGGUCCCGCGCGACGUGGCAGCCUCUUGGCUCUCGGCGCUCGCGGCACGCCAGUGCUGGCGCAGCCCCACCAGGCGACUACCCUCCCCCCAUAAGGCCUCGGCCCCUCCCCAGCGCCGCCCCCCAACACCAGGACUGCCUGCUGCCCCCCACCGUGAGGUAAUCGAAAUCGACUGCUCAAUCUCUCAAUCUGUUGAUAUGAUGCACACGGUUGCAAAAAUAGAUGUGUCAAAAUAGAUGUUUUGCCAAUUGCUAUAGAUGCAUACGGUUGACAUGAAGUCAAAAAUGACAUUUGGUUCCUUGUAGGCAGUCAAAAAUGAAGAAGUCAAAAAAUAUUGAUCUGAAAUCAAUGUGGGAAAGGGCUAUGAAGACACGCAGGUAGAUUCCCUUGUGAACUUUUUAUGUCGUUCGUCUAAAUAAUUUUUUGCAAUGGGCAUACCCUACUCUGAAAUCCUGGGUCCGCCACUGAUGAUGAUGGUCUAAAAAUAAACCAAGCCUAGAUUAAUUAGCCACAACUGAAAUUAAGCAAAGGUUAAUGUCAUUGACCCUAGCUCUAUCCUAGCUUUUACCAAAGUUCCGGCACAUAUAGUGGUUGGGCCCACUCUCUCUGCUUCCCUCUCUGCUGCAUGCACGCACACGAGCAACGGGAGGCCCGACGAAGCCCAGAAGGGUUCGGCCGAACCAGUAUGAGCGCCGCUCCCUCCCAGCCUUCGCGCAGAUGCUCCUCCAACGUUCCUUGACCCCUCCCUCAGCGUCCCGUUGGGUUUAACAUUGCAGGAGAGGAGUCCCUUUUUUAAAAUCUCAACCACCUCCUCUCCCCAUUCACUCCACUCUCAUCUCCAUCAAACUCACCAAGAUCCGCACCGGAAAUCCCUGCUUACCACCAUGGCUGGCAAAGCCCUCAUCCCUUUCACCAACUUGGGCUUGACCACUGAUCUCGAUGGGGAAAUCACUCUGGCAAAUAUGCGUGUAACACUGCCCCCUUUGCCGAGGGUUAAAGCCAAAACACUCAGCAAAGUGGAUAGUACCCCCCUUUUUACCCGUUUUGUCAUGUAUAACGGACCCCUCUCAAUUCACAAUAGACAUCAUCAUAGGCAUUUAUAAUAAACAAUCACAGGCAUAAUUCACAAUCACCAUUACAAGCAUUAUUCAUAAAUAUCACAGACAUAAUCCAAAGUAAGCAUGAAACAAGCCAUAAAUCCAAGUUCAAGUCACAACUAAGUUUCAUCCAAGUUCAAGUCACAAAUGCAAUGUCUAAAUCCAUGGAGGCCAAGGAGACCACUGCGACAAAUCUUGGUCUUCAUUAUUCGAAGCCGCCGAUUGAUUCUGCACAUAGGAUAGGACAUUCUGAGCUAACAUCUAAAGUUGUCAAAAUUAAAGUAUUCAAUCUUAAGCACAAUGUGUCAAAUGACUCACAGGAGUAGUUGUGGGUGGCUGAGGCGGAGGGAACAGCAUCGAUGGCGGUGGCAAAGAUUGACCCAUGCUCGAAGCAAAAUUCUGCAUGUACUGGAACAUCUGGUCCAUCCUCAUCCGAUUUUCUUCCUCCAUCCUCUGCCGCUCGGCCUCUAACCUCCGCUGAACCAUCUGCUCCAUCCUCGCCGCCAUCUCCUCUUGUUGCUUCCUUGCUGCUUCCACCUGGGCCUACAAUAUUUCAUUGCAAUGUUACAAUGCAAAGCUAAAGUAUAGCAACCAACGAACAAUGAAUGGAAGAGAAAGAACCUGGAGAGCCUCCAUCUGGAACUGUCCAAUGGUUGGUCGUAGCCGUAUCGCCGGGCUCGAGUCCGUGCUCCUUGCUUGGAUCUGGGAGAGAGUGGCAGUAGAGGCCGUGUUGAUUACGCCGUCGCCAAUCCAAUAUCGGCCAUGCUUCUUGCCUCCUCCCACCCUCAUCACGAUUUCUCCAUCAAUAUCCUCAGAGCUUGAAUCGAAGUCUGGCCCGUGAACCUCCCUUGCCAUCACUGUAUAUUCCUUUGCCGAGUGCCCGAGAUAAAGCACUCGGCAAAUAGAAAACACUCGGCAACUUUACUGUUUCCCGUAGUGUCGCUAUUUUUGCAGGUUCUCGACCAGGCCAGUUCUUUGGGCCAACCUAUCAUUCACGACUUAAACAUACGGUGGCUGUAGAAAUGUUCUAUUCUUUUCAACAAUACCAGCUGGUUCCUCCGUUUUUAUUCCACCAAUACAAGCACCACCUUGUAACAUUUCCUAUGUUUUUUUUUCCUUUCGUCUGUUUUCUACAUGCGUUGCUCUUUCAUGCAUUUUUUUCCAUUCCUGUAUUCCAAAUAGGUCUACAUGAACACAAAAUGAACUAGGGGACAGAAAAAGCCAGUGAAGCCAAUUUUGAGCUUCACCAGCUACUUGCUACAUAAAGUGUGCUAUAGUGACGUGUUUUAGCAAAACAUGUUAUCAAUGACUUGACAUUGGUGACGUGUUAAAACGCGUUAUCUCAAUGGCAAAUCAUUGGUGACGUGUUUUAAAAAAACAUGUCACCGUGAGAGUCAUUGGUGAAGGGUAAUUAUAAUGCGUCACUAAUGUUGUAGCAUUAGUUAUGAUAAUUUAGUAACGCAAAAAUCUACCAUCAGUAUUGAGCUUUAGAGCCAUCGCUAAUGUGGGUUUCUUACAUAGUGAUGCAAGCUCUACAAGGUGCUGUUGCUGCCAUUUUAAAGCAUCCCAUGACUACAUGUUAAUAACAUAGUUUACCAUAUAUCAUAAAAAUAUUAGUUACAAUAAGCACAUACGCAUGUGGAAGAGUCCGAAUGCACCGGUUGAGGACUAAACACAUUGAAUUACUAGAACCAAAUGUGUGUUUAGAACAAAGACAGGGGUCAAGGUUUGGGUAACCGCAUUAAAAACAUUGGAUUUUACUGUACAUGAACACUUAGUUACCAUUACCAUGCCUUGAGCACCUAGUUACAACAAACAUUAAUUUAGCCACUUUAGAGCUUCCAGAAUCGCUAUAAAUAAUAUACCUACGCCGUACCAUGAAAACAUCAAGAAGAGAGACGGAUACAUGGACCACCAUCAAGCGAGUAGUGACAGCACGCACAAGAAUACCCGGAACCUGUUAGCUUGUCUGUAGUGAUCUGUUUUCUUCCCCAUAAAAUCCAUGAGUAUUGCCACAAAUAAUGAAAGAGGCUGACCAAGCUAGCAAGGAGGUAGAGCAAACGUGAUACACGGCCUGCCAAGAUUGCCCUGGAUACGCCAAUAAGAGCGACAGAUACAUGGAUCACACCAAUAUGGUGAAACGUAUAUUCAUCACACAAGCAAAGCUGGUCAGUUUAUCCAUGGUCAAAUUGUGGUCUUUGUUUUCACUUGAGAGCUAAUUGAGGCACUAUAAUAUGGGCAGGCCUAUCUUCAACAGACAUGACAGCUACAGGGAACUUGACAUAAUUUGCUGGGCCGCCUGUGCACAAUUAUUUGUUUUAUUGUCCUUGCAUAGAAUGCUAAAAUACUCUUUACAAAAUGUUGGAUCUAAUAUUUGAAAUAUAGAGUAGUAAUCAUAUAUUGAUCAACAACUUGAAAUUAUCUGUACAUUCUCGGUGAAGCUGUUGAACUAAUUUUUGCAAAUUAUUAAUUCAUCUCAUUACGUAAAGAAAAAAGUAAGUGGAUAAGAUAUUUCGUGGACCACAUCACUGCAAACAUGUCAUGGAGAGACAGACCAAGGAGGCAGGACGUGAUACACGACUUACCCUAGGUUGCCGUGGAACCGCCAAGAAGAGAUACAGAUACAUGGACCACACCAUCUUGGGAGUAGUGACAGCAUAUAUGCAGAAGAAUACCCCGUGCCUAUUUGCAUGCAUGUCUCAAGUGAUCUGUUUUCUUCAGAAAAUACAUGAGCAUUGCCAGAAAGAAUGGCAAGAGACAAACAUGUCAUAGAGACUUGCAUGUCUUGCCUUGGAUACGCCAAGAAGAGGGACACAUACAUGGAUAACACAAAUCUAGUGACACGUAUAUUCAUCACAAAGGCAAAUCUGAUAAUUUUAUCCAUGGAGCAGACCAAGGAGAAAUUGAUGACGGACAUGUGAUCUCUGUAUUCAGUUGAAAGCUAAUUGAGCUACACUAAUAUGAGCAGGACUAUAUUCAAGAGACUUGUUGAGAGCUACAGGGAACUUGUAAUAAUUUGCUGGGCGGCCUGCGCACAAUGAUUUGUUAUACAUAGUUGAAAUAUUUCAAGAAUUUAUCAACCUCAUACUCUGAAACCCUUGGUGCAAUGUACUCUGCUUUCCGAGGUAGACUGUUCACGUAAAAUGAGGUCAUGCGUAAGACGGAAUCGGAUUGGAUUCACAGGGAAUCAGAUUUGGAUAGCACCUUUUAGCAGGUUUUUAGUCAAAUGCAAAUUCGGAUCCACAUGUGGUUGAAUGCGAGUUCAAAAUUCUACUUGGAUAUCCAUUUAAUUUAGGUGAUAGCAAUUAGCACAAAAUGUUGGAUGAACAAAAUCAUAGUUAGACAUACAAUUACAUGUAUGGUUAAAGUAUAAUACAAUACACCAAGAUUAUUCCUUGAAAAUAUUUCUUAAAAAUAUUAUAAUAAAUGAAUAAAUAUAAUUGUGGCCACCAACAAAUAGUCGGUGGUCGCUAAGUUGGAGCCAUUUCUGGUUACUAAUGCGGCCUUCUCCUCGACCAGCGACGACAGCUGAGCUUGUUCCUUCUGACACUAAAUCAUCAGAGUCUUCCCUCCACUACUAUAGAAUGCACCUUUAGCACCAAUUGGGAAAUCCCCUUCAGUAUUGGAUGCUGCAACCAGUGCUAUAUAUCAAAAUGGAGACUAAAAGCCUCGGUCUUGGGUACCGGUUGCAUAACGCAUUACUAAAGGAGGCAAAAGAGAAAUGUAACAAAAAAAAUAUUUUGAAUUCCAAGAAUGUUUCACUAUUCAAGAUGACUAGCUGAGAGUCAACAGACAAGAUACUAGGAAUGUGGGUGCUUGAAUGCAUUUGUACAGAGGUCAUACUAUUUACAAACUCUUCUAUGUUUCCAUAUGACUACCUACUUCAAUGUCACGCGAGCCAUUCAGCUGGACACAUGGCACACUAGCUUGCAUGUCGAAUCCAUGAUUAAUUAUUUCCACUUGUGAUCUCUUACCAGUAUUUGUCCAGACUAGAAACGUGCAACACAUUUUUAGGAUAUGGACACGCAUAUAUUUGGACUAGUAUACAGGUCACCUUUGGAUGCGUACAAGGAUGACCGGGAGGGACUAGAAAUGGUCUAGUUUUGAUUGGACUACAAAACUUUUUGUACAGUGAAUAGAGAAUAUAUAUUAUUGUUGGAAUACGAGGUAGGCUACACUAUCGCAAUUCUGAUAUUCUACCGCGUAUAACCAAGAAGAACUGUCGUAUAAGGAUCACGGGAUUACCACUCGACGCACUACUGGUGCGGAAGAUGUAGAUAUGCGUCGAUGCAGUGAAGACGAUCACGUAGUCGUAUGUAGUCGAUCAACGUAGUCGUACAUAGUCGAUCACGUCCAGCAGCUCCUCAGCAGCUCGUCCACGUGCAGCAAGAUCGCCUCCGGUACCGCGGCUCGUCGUUGGCUUGUCGUGGCUCGUCGACGGCUCGUCGGCGGCUCGUCCAAGUGCUGCAGGCGCAACACCUCCAAGGUAUCCACACGUGCAGGGAGGAAGCGUCGCAAGCCGGACUGCUAGAUCCACGAGUUGCAACAGGCGAGGGCGUGGGAGGCGCGGCAGGUGUGUUUCGCCAAAAAGGUGUAAACCCUAGGGCGCCCCCACCCCUCUAUUUAUAGAGGUUCCUGACGGGCCUCUGGAUCCGAGGCCCAUUAGUACUUCUAAACCUAAUCCAACUCGGAUCAGAUCCGAAUUGGGCUUCCAGCCCCUUAAGUGUGUGACCCUAUAAGUUCGGAUACGUAUAGACAUGGCCCGAGUACUCCUACUCGGCCCAAUAGUCGGUAGCGGCCUCUAGCAAGACGUGCCAACUCCUAUACGCACACGAAGAUCAUAUCAGACGAACCAUCACAACAUAAUAUACAUGCUAUUCCCUUUGCCUCACGAUAUUUGGUCUAGCUUCAAGCCGACCGCUCUUUCUCAGUCCUGUGAUUCGGAAUCCCUUUGUAGGUUAACUCUUAACCGUACGUAGCAUGGCCAUGCAUUUUCGGAUCUGAUCACUCGAGGGGCCCAGAGAUAUCACUCUCAAUCAGAGAGGGGCAAAUCCCAUCUUGAUUGACCAUGUCUCAUAGCAUGCUUCUUGACAAACCUAAAAACUACCUUUAUAACUUCCCUGUUACGGCGUAGUGUUUGAUAGCUCCUAAGUAGGUCGAUCCACAUCUAGAAUACAUGCGACAAUUUCAGGUCUAAGGACAAAGCGUAUAUGUUGUUUAAAGAGAGAACUACUUCUCGUGUUGGGUCAGUCCCAGCACAUGUCUCCACAUGUGUCCACAUUAUUAGUUCAACAUCUCCAUGUCCAUGACUUGUGAAACAUAGUCAUCAACUAAUACAUGUGCUAGUCUAAUAUUCAUGUGUGUCCUCACAUGAACUCCGACUAGGGACAACUUUAGAAUAACCAUACAAGUAAAGAGUUUCACAUACAAUUCACAUAAUUGCAAAUCAAUUCAAGUAGCCUUCAAUGGAUAUUCAAUGAACACAACAUACAAAUCAUGGAUACAAAUGGAAUAUCAUCAUCUCUAUGAUUGCCUCUAGGGCAUACCUCCAACAGUCUCCCACUUGCACUAGAGUCAAUCUAGAAGGUACCUAAUACCCAUAGCUCUUACAUGCGCAUCAUGCUUAGCCUGCGGGAGUGGUUUUGUCAACGGAUCAGAAAUGUUCAGAUCCGUGUGUAUUUUGCAUAUCUUGAUCUCACCCCGGUUAACGAAGUCUCGAAUGAGAUGAAAUCGCCGCAUUACAUGUUUGUUCUUCUGGUGGUUCCUUGGCUCCUUUGCUUGCGCAAUUGCCCCAUUGUUAUCACAGUAGAGAUUCAAUGGGCUGGACCCAUUCGGGAACACACCAAGCUCAAUGAGGAAAUUCCUUAUCCAAACACCUUCCUUCGCGGCUUCCGAAGCCGCGAUGUACUCGGCUUCUGUCGUAGAAUCGGCCACCGUCUCCUGCUUGGAACUCUUCCAACUAACAGCACCACCAUUUAGCGUGAACACAAAUCCUGUUUGUGACUUUGAAUCAUCUCUGUCGGUUUGGAAACUAGCAUCGGUGUAACCUGUUACAACGAGCUCCUCCUCACCUCCAUAGACGAGGAAUAUAUCUUUAGUCCUUCUCAAGUACUUAAGAAUGUUUUUCACCGCUGUUCAGUGACUCUCACCUGGAUCAGAUUGGUGUCUGCUUGUCAUACUUAGCACAUAUGAAACAUCUGGGCGAGUACUUAUCAUUGCAUACAUGAUAGAUCCAAUAGCCGAGGCAUAUGACACUCUACUCAUGUGAUCCCGCUCAUCAGCAGUCGAAGGACACUGAGUCUUGCUGAGAUGUAUGCCAUGUGACAUAGGCAAGAACCCUUCCAUGCUGAACCGCUUCAACACUUUGUCAAUGUAAGUAUCUUGGCUUAAACCUAUAAGCCUUCUCGAUCUAUCUCUAUAGAUCUUAAUGCCCAGAAUAUAUGCCGCUUCCCCUAAGUCCUUCAUCGAAAAACUAUUUUUCAGUGAAGUCUUUAUGGACUCAAGCAUAGGAAUGUUAUUUCCAAUCAGUAAUAUGUCAUCCACAUAUAAGAUUAGAAAUACUACAGAGCUCCCACUAACCUUCUUGUAAACACAAGACUCUUCUUCGUUCUUGGUGAAGUCAAACCCUUUGACCACUUCAUCAAAACGAAUGUUCCAACUCCUAGAUGCUUGCUUCAAUCAAUAAAUGGAUCUCUGAAGCUUGCAUACCUUUCCAGCAUUUUUCGGAUCGACAAAACCCUUGGACUGUAUCAUAUACACGUCCUCAGUUAGGUUUCCAUUCAGGAAAGCUGUCUUGACAUCCAUCUGCCAUAUCUCAUAAUCGAAAUAUGCAGCCAAACUUGAUUGUCUCCCAUGGACUCUAUUUCGGAUUGCAUGGCAUUCUGCCAUUUUUCGGAGUCUGGGUCCAUCAUUGCUUCUGCAUAUGUCACAGGCUCAUCAUUGUCCAACAAUAAUAUUUCCUGCAUUUCGCGGAGCCUUGCCGACCUUCGUGGUUGUGGCGGUGCUUCUCUUGCCAUGGGUAUCUCAACUUGUUCUGCUACGUUAGCAUCACUCAUUGAUUCUUGCCCGAUCGGCUCAUCUUGAACUUCUUCAAGAUGCACUGUCUUUCCACUCUUUUCUCCUUUGAGAAACUCUUUCUCUAGGAAAACCCCGUUCCGAGCGACAAACACUUUGCCUUCUGAUCAGUUGUAAAAAUAAUAUCCCAAAGUUUCCUUUGGAUAUCCCACGAAAAUGCACUUAUCCGACUUGGGUGCGAUCUUGUCCGACUGAAGUCGCUUGACAAACACAUCACAUCCCCAAAUCUUUAGAAAAGACAAACUAGGAACCUUUCCAGUCCAUAUCUCAUAUGGUGUCUUAACUACGGAUUUAGAUGGUACCCUAUUAAGUGUGAAAGCUGCUGUUUCUAGAGCGUAUCCCCAAAAUGACAACGGUAGGUCCGACUGGCUCAUCAUUGAUCGAACCAUGUCUAACAAAGAUCGAUUACGUCGCUCGGACACACCGUUUCUCUGAGGUGAUCCAGGCGGCGUAAGUUGUGGAACAAUUCCGCAACUCUUUAGAUGAUUGCUAAACUUGUGGCUCAAAUACUCGCCUCCACGAUCAGAUUGUAAGGCCUUAAUUUUCUUGACACGCUAAUUUUCAACUUCAUUCUGAAAAUCCUUGAACUUUUCAAAGGUUUCAGACUUGUGCCUCAUCAAGUAGACAUAGCCAUAUCUACUAAAAUCAUCAGUGAAAGAUAUGAAGUAUUGGAAUCCUCCUCUAGCCGUCGUGCUCAUUGGUCCGCAUACAUCACUAUGUACGAGUUCCAACAAGUCUACUGCUCUCUCAGGAAAUCCUGUGAAAGACGUCUUGGUCAUCUUGCCUAGCAAGCAAGCCUCACAUGUCUCGUAUGAUUCAAAAUCAAACGAAGUUAGAAGUCCAUCAGAAUGGAGCUUCUUCAUGCGUUUUUCACUUAUAUGACCCAAACGACAAUGCCACAAGUAGGUAGGACUCAAAUCAUUAGGCCGAGGCCUUUUAGCACUUACAUUACAGACAGGUGAACCAUCAAGAUUUAAAACAAAUAAUCCAUUCACAAUGGGUGCAAAAGCCAUAAACAUAUUAUUCUUAGAGAUCACACAACCAUUGUUUUCACUCGCAAAUGAAUAACCAUCCUUCAUCAAGCAUGAAGGAGACAAAAUGUUUCGACUUAAACUAGGAACAAAAUAACAAUUAUUCAACUCCAUAAUAAAUGCUGACGGGAGGUGGAGUUGCAUCGUCCCGACGGUCAACGCAGCAACUCUUGCAUUAUUGCCCACGCGGAAAUCAACUUCUCCUCUUUCCACGCUUCUACUUCUUAUCAUUCCCUGCAUCGAAUUGCAAAUAUGAGCAACCGAUCCGGUAUCAAAUACCCAAGAAUUAAUAAUUGUAUCAGCGAGAAAUAUGUUGUCUAUGACAUUAACAACAAGCGUACCUGAGGUAGAAGUACUCUUACUUCCUCCAUUCUUCAACGAAGCUAGGUACUGCUUGCAGUUUCUCUUCCAGUGACCAAGUUCAUGACAGUAAAAGCACUCUUUGUCUGGAGCAGGUCCAGGUCCAGCUUUAACCUUGGGCGCUCGCUGGGUUUGGCUUGGAAAUUCCAGCCUUGCCCUUCUUCUUCCAAGAAUUGCCCUUCUUCUUAAAGCUAGGCUUGUUCUGUAUAGCCAUCACAUGGCUAGUACAAGCGCUUUUCUUGAUGUCUACCUCUGCUGUCUUGAGCAUACCACACAGUUCAUUCAAACCCUUCUCCGUCCCAUGCAUAUGGUAGUUCGAGAUGAAGUUCCCAUAGCUAGGCGGAAGAGAUGAAAGAAUGAAGUCAGUGGCCAACUCUUUGCCCAUUGGGAAGCCCAGCUUCUCCAAUCGCUGAGUGUAACCAACCAUGUUGAUUACAUGUGGUCCUACUGCUGCGUCUUCUGCUAGCUUGCACUCCAGAAAAGCUUUGGACACAUUGAACCUUUCAGUCCUAGCCUGUGUCUGGAACAUGUCCUUGAGCGCCACGAUCAUAUCGUGUGCCUCAUGAUUUGUUUCGAACUGCAUCUGCAGCUCGGGUUCCAUGCAAGCAAGCAUAAGGCAGCUUACCUCAAGAUUAGCAUCAAAUGCCUUCUUGUAAGCAGCCUUAACGGCAGCAGAUGCAUCAUCAGCAGGUACUGGUGGUAGUGGGGUAUCUAGAACAUCUUCCUUUUUAUCGGCCCUGAGAACAAUUCUCAGGUUACGGAUCCAAUCCGAGUAGUUUGUUCCAUUCAACUUGUCCUUCUCAAGGACCGAGCGCAAAGCAAACGAUGUGGUGGUGUUGCUAGGUGCCAUUUAAUCUACAACAAAAGUAAUGCAAAAUACACUAAGACAAACGUAUCCAUGAUAGAGCAAAUUACAUUAAACUAUUUUAACAGAAUCUACUCCCACUAAAAUCAAUAUCCCUCUAUUGAAACUUAGUGAUUCAGGAUCCACAACUAACAAGUCUACUAGUGAGCUUUAGCAUCACCGCUAGCAAACGAGGUAGAUCGGUAAGCAACUUUUGCUAAUCAUAUCACAUAUGACUCCUGUUGUUGGGUGACAUCUCCAUGUCUCGGCGCCCAACCAUUAUGCCCCAAGGUCCUUAACCGUUAAGAUGACCUCGUUAAGCAAACCAACCCUUAUGCGUGUAAGUGUCCGACACAAACCCGUCUAGUCAAGGAAAACUAGUGGCACCCUAAUUUCAUAGACCCACCACUAAUUGUACAAGACAUGGGACGGUGCAAGUUUUAGUUGGGAGGGCAUACUAACUUAAAUUUUUUGUGAGGGAUCGUUCUACUUCUAACAUCACAGCAUGCAGAAAGUAAAACAUAAACAGAAUAGCAUUCACACAGCUGUGACACAGUAUGGCCCGUUUUUAUAUGGUGAUCUCCAUCUCCAUAGAACCUGUUCACCAUGGUGAUCUCCAUCUCCAUGUUCCAUGUGCGCCAUCCUCCUGGUGAGGAGUCCUCCAAGAACUAGAACAUGCUAUUACACCUAAUAGCUAGUAAAGAAUCUAGUAAUGAAGAUUACAUAGUUGCUUGGAUCAUCACAGAUUGGUACGCAGACCAUUAAAUACAAUAAAGUGACAACACAUAUGGCUCCUGCCGUGUUGCCGUACGCGCGACACGCAGGUCACGAAUGAGUUACACACAUGCAUCACAUACACAAGGGGGCCAUACUGAUCACAAGAUACAUACAUACAUCCUGCAAAACAGAGUUAGGCGUCCUAACGUUCCAAACUUCGAAGGCCCGAAACUCCAUCUUCCAAGCCGAAUUUGGGAAAUCUAAUUUUGCCGAAAACGGCAAAGCGGUUGAAUUUCAUGUGUAACUUUUUCUGUAGAUCAAUUUUCAUAUAAAAUUCGCCCCGAUCCGAGAUCGUACCGAAAAGUUACGGCUGAUUUACCGAAGCAUACGCAUACGGCAAAAAUUCCGACCCCGGCAGUAGAUCCCAUCUACUAUUGCACAUCUAAUGCGCCUGGCGUAUGAUCCUGGAUUUCGAUUCGACCAAUCAUAUUGAUCUUCGCUCACUGCAACUGGAAUUACGUGUAUCACUUAACUCGUCGGCGGCUCGUCGGCGGCUCAUCCAAGUGCUGCAGGCCCAACACCUCCAAGGUAUCCACACGUGCAGGGAGGAAGCGUCGCAAACCGGACUGCUAGAUCCGCGAGUUGCAAUAGGCGAGGGCGUGGGAGGCGCCGCAGGUGUGUUUCGCCAAAAAGAUGUAAACCCUAGGGCGCCCCCACCCCUCUAUUUAUAGAGGUUCCUGACGGGCCUCUGGAUCCGAGGCCCAUUAGUACUUCUAAACCUAAUCCAACUCGGAUCAGAUCCGAAUUGGGCUUCCAGCCCCUUAAGUGUGUGACCCUAUGGGUUCGGAUACGUAUAGACAUGGCCCGAGUACUCCUACUCGGCCCAAUAGUCGGUAGCGGCCUCUAGCAAGACGUGCCAACUCCUAUACACACACGAAGAUCAUAUCAGAUGAACCAUCACAACAUAAUAUACAUGCUAUUCCCUUUGCCUCACGAUAUUUGGUCUAGCUUCAAGCCGACCGCUCUUUCUCAAUCCUGUGAUUCGGAAUCCCUUUGUAGGUUAACUCUUAACCGUACGUAGCAUGGCCAUGCAUUUUCGGAUCCGAUCACUCGAGGGGCCCAGAGAUAUCACUCUCAAUCAGAGAGGGGCAAAUCCCAUCUUGAUUGACCAUGUCUCAUAGCAUGCUUCUUGACAAACCCGAAAACUACCUUUAUAACUACCCUGUUACGGCGUAGCAUUUGAUAGCCCCUAAGUAGGUCGAUCCACAUCUAGAAUACAUGCGACAAUCUCAGGUCUAAGGACAAAGCGUAUAUGUUGUUUAAAGAGAGAACUACUUCUCGUGUUGGGUCAGUCCCAGCACAUGUCUCCACAUGUGUCCACAUUAUUAGUUCAACAUCUCCAUGUCCAUGACUUGUGAAACAUAGUCAUCAACUAAUACAUGUGCUAGUCUAAUAUUCAUGUGUGUCCUCACAUGAACUCCGACUAGGGACAACUUUAGAAUAACCAUACAAGUAAAGAGUUUCACAUACAAUUCACAUAAUUGCAAAUCAAUUCAAGUAGCCUUCAAUGGAUAUUCAAUGAACACAACAUACAAAUCAUGGAUACAAAUGGAAUAUCAUCAUCUCUAUGAUUGCCUCUAGGGCAUACCUCCAACAAUUAUUUCAUGUAAAUUUUUGACAAUUUUUUAAAAUUGUUUGAUAUUUUUUAAAUUUUUUUUAAAAUAACUUUGCCGAGUGUCCUAUUGUAGACACUCGGCAAAGCAGCCUUCACCGAGUGUUACCCCUGGGACACUCGGCGAAUUAAUGCCCGGCCGCUCAAGAAUAUGUGCCCGGCCCCCUCACUCUCCCGGCCCCCCUCACUCUCACUCCCCUCACUCCCUCCUCUCUCCCUCCUCUCUCCCUCUCGCCGCCGCCCGAAACCCCCGCCGCCGCCCGCCGCCCGGCAUGCCGCCCAGCGCCCCCCGCCGCCGCCCGGCGCUCCCGAAUCCGCCGCCGCCCGCCCGGCGCCCGGCCCCCGGAUCCGCCGCCGCCGGCCGCCCGGCGCCCCCGGAUUCGCCGCCGCCCGCCCGGCCCCCGGCCCCCGGAUCAGCCGCCGCCCGCCGCCCGGCGCACGGCGCCCCCGGAUCCGCCGCCGCCUGCCCGGCGCCCGGCCCCUGGCCCCCUGAUCCGCCGCCGCCCGCCCGGAUCCGCCGCCGCCCGCCCGGCGCCCGGCCCCCGGCCCCCGGAUCCACCGCCGCCCCCCCGGCCCCCGGAUCCGCCGCCCGCCCGUCCCCUCCACCGGAUCCGCCGGCGCCGGGGCCUGAAGAGAAGAGAAGAGGAGAGGAUGGUGGCGGCGGCGGCCGCGGCGGCGGAGCAGGUGGCAGAGCAUGCAUGAUUUUUUUUUAUUUUUUCAAUAAUUGUUCGCCAAGUGUUUUCUGGGCACUCGGCAAAGUCUUUGCCGAGUGCCCGACACAAAACACUCGGCGAACCAGUGUUUGCCGUCAAGAUUUUUGCCGUGUGUCGUUUGCCGAGUGUUACACUCGGCAAACGCUUUGUCGAGUGUUUUUGGGGUUUCGCGGAGUGACCCUGGCACUCGGCAUCACGCAUGUUUCCCUUAGUGAACUUGAAAUUAUCUGUACAUUCUCGGUGAAGCUGUUGAACUAAUUUUUGCAAAUUAUUAAUUCAUCUCAUUACGCAAAGAAAAAAGUAAGUGGAUAAGAUAUUUCGUGGACCACAUCACUGCAAACAUGUCAUGGAGAGACAGACCAAGGAGGCAGGACGUGAUACACGACUUACCCUAGGUUGCCGUGGAACCGCCAAGAAGAGAUACAGAUACAUGGACCACACCAUCUUGGGAGUAGUGACAGCAUAUAUGCAGAAGAAUACCCCGUGCCUAUUUGCAUGCAUGUCUCAAGUGAUCUGUUUUCUUCAGAAAAUACAUGAGCAUUGCCAGAAAGAAUGGCAAGAGACAAACAUGUCAUAGAGACUUGCAUGUCUUGCCUUGGAUACGCCAAGAAGAGGGACACAUACAUGGAUAACACAAAUCUAGUGACACGUAUAUUCAUCACAAAGGCAAAUCUGAUAAUUUUAUCCAUGGAGCAGACCAAGGAGAAAUUGAUGACGGACAUGUGAUCUCUGUAUUCAGUUGAAAGCUAAUUGAGCUACACUAAUAUGAGCAGGACUAUAUUCAAGAGACUUGUUGAGAGCUACAGGGAACUUGUAAUAAUUUGCUGGGCGGCCUGCGCACAAUGAUUUGUUAUACAUAGUUGAAAUAUUUCAAGAAUUUAUCAACCUCAUACUCUGAAACCCUUGGUGCAAUGUACUCUGCUUUCCGAGGUAGACUGUUCACGUAAAAUGAGGUCAUGCGUAAGACGGAAUCGGAUUGGAUUCACAGGGAAUCAGAUUUGGAUAGCACCUUUUAGCAGGUUUUUAGUCAAAUGCAAAUUCGGAUCCACAUGUGGUUGAAUGCGAGUUCAAAAUUCUACUUGGAUAUCCAUUUAAUUUAGGUGAUAGCAAUUAGCACAAAAUGUUGGAUGAACAAAAUCAUAGUUAGACAUACAAUUACAUGUAUGGUUAAAGUAUAAUACAAUACACCAAGAUUAUUCCUUGAAAAUAUUUCUUAAAAAUAUUAUAAUAAAUGAAUAAAUAUAAUUGUGGCCACCAACAAAUAGUCGGUGGUCGCUAAGUUGGAGCCAUUUCUGGUUACUAAUGCGGCCUUCUCCUCGACCAGCGACGACAGCUGAGCUUGUUCCUUCUGACACUAAAUCAUCAGAGUCUUCCCUCCACUACUAUAGAAUGCACCUUUAGCACCAAUUGGGAAAUCCCCUUCAGUAUUGGAUGCUGCAACCAGUGCUAUAUAUCAAAAUGGAGACUAAAAGCCUCGGUCUUGGGUACCGGUUGCAUAACGCAUUACUAAAGGAGGCAAAAGAGAAAUGUAACAAAAAAAAUAUUUUGAAUUCCAAGAAUGUUUCACUAUUCAAGAUGACUAGCUGAGAGUCAACAGACAAGAUACUAGGAAUGUGGGUGCUUGAAUGCAUUUGUACAGAGGUCAUACUAUUUACAAACUCUUCUAUGUUUCCAUAUGACUACCUACUUCAAUGUCACGCGAGCCAUUCAGCUGGACACAUGGCACACUAGCUUGCAUGUCGAAUCCAUGAUUAAUUAUUUGCACUUGUGAUCUCUUACCAGUAUUUGUCCAGACUAGAAACGUGCAACACAUUUUUAGGAUAUGGACACGCAUAUAUUUGGACUAGUAUACAGGUCACCUUUGGAUGCGUACAAGGAUGACCGGGAGGGACUAAUGGAUACAAGGAAGGGACCAUCAGGAUUAAUAUUGACAUAUGCCACAUGACAAUCUUCAUUGUCAUGCAAUCCCUAUCAACAAUCAUGGAAUCCCUAGUGUACUAAUCCCUGGAGGGUUGUGUGGAAAUUUAUUUUACCUUGCGGUGAAAAUCUCAUGAGCAGUCAUUAGUUAAGCUGACUAGCUGAGAUAUAAUAGACAAGCUAGUAAGAUUGGGAGCAUCAAUGCAUCCAUACAGGGUCACAAUAUCCUUUCCAUUCACUUUUAUAUAUAACCCUACGAAUACAAGUCCAACGAAAUGCGGGCCUUUCGAUCAAGAUAAAUUAAAUGGCCCACUUGUAUUUCUAAUCCAGGAUUAACUAUGCCCUCUGUUCAUCUCUUGCAAGCACGUGCAACACAUUUUCACGAUAUGGACAUGCAUGGAGGUUAUUAUACUGUUUGGACAAACUCUGAUGUGCCAUGACCUAAAUGCUUAGGGCCUGUUUGGUUUGAGUUGCUUAUUAUAAGCAACUUAAAGUUGCUUAAAGUUGCUUAUUUGAAGUUGCUUAUUUUUAGUCUAAACUGUUUGGAUACCCUUGCUUAUGAGCAUUGAAUGAGUUGGACAUUGUCAAAUUUGCCCCAUGUGUUGCUACCCCUCCAAUUUGCCUCCCCACCCUUCUUCUUCCUGCACACGUCCGAUCCCGGGGGCCGACGGCGGGCAGGGAGCAGCAGCAGCUGGCCAGGGCGGCGGUGGGGCGGGAGCGGCGGCGCACACCAGCACGCGCUCGCACGCCAGGUGCUAGGGCGCGGCGAGGCAGUCGUCGUAGCCCACCGGGAGCGGGUGCUCGGGCGCGAGGCGGUACUCGACGGAGAUGCCGAGCGUCGGGCGCGCGGCGGCGAGCGCGUUGAGGAAGCGAUGGUAGUGCGGCGACGUCGCGGACUCCGCCACGAAGCCGCCGCCGUGGACGUACACCACCACGGGCAGCUUCGUCUUGCCGUCGGCGGCCGCGGCCGCGGCCUGGGGUGGCAGGUAGAGGCGGACGGAGCAGGAGCCGAGGUCGACGUCCCUGGAGUCGACGCCCGUGGCGGCGUCCAGGCUAGGCCCGACCGGCGGCGGCACGAGCGGGCGCUCGAUGCGGCCGCUCUUGUAAAUCCGACGGGUCUGUGCGGAGGCGGGCGGCGGGCGGGAGCGGCGGGUGGGAGCGGCGGCAGGUGGUGCGGAGGCCGGCGGCGGCGGGUGGCGCGGAGGAAGGGGAGCUGGUGAGUGGUGACAGGGGAGGGGGGGAGAGAGAGGGGGGGGUAGGGUGCAUUGAAUGAGGGCAGGAGGUGUAAAGUGCACCUUUUAGUCCCCAUGAGCAACCAUAAGCAGCCCAAGAGUUGCUUAUUUGCUUAUAAUAAGCAACCUCAUAAGCAAGAGUGAUUGGUUUCAUAAGCAACUUAUUUGCUUAUUUUAAGUUGCUUAUGCAUAAGCAUGUGAAACCAAGCAGGUCCUUAACCUAUGGUUGUGGCACCACACAGUACAUAGUAUUUAAUAAUGCUAUUCGUUUGGUAUGUGCACAAGGGCACGCAUGAAAUGUCUGGCCCACGGUAAACAAGUACGGACGCUGCAAAUAAUCUACUCUGCUCGUCCAGUCCCUAGCCUAUAAAUAGAUGCCAUGCUAGCUCUUGUUGUGCUCACAAUUAAUCCUGACUACACACGAGCUUCUCUCCCUGGCCAAGACACAAUCAUAGUAUGAUGAAGAACAUGGCACUAGCCGGCAAUGGUAUGAAGAACUUAAUCCUCGCUGUUCUCUUACUGUGUCUAGUUAUAGGGCAGAUACAAGUGGAAGCUAAGAGCUGCUGCCCAUCCAUUACUGCAAGAAAUAUCUACAAUGCCUGCCGUAUCACGGGUACAUCCCGUCCAACGUGUGCAAAACUGUCAGGCUGCAAAAUUAUCAGCGGGGACAAAUGCAAGCCCCCUAACGACCACCUCACCCUUGACCCGGACACUGGUAAAUAAUAAAUUUAUCUCACUUGAUUUCUUCGUGUUUUGAGUCGUUAAUGUAUUUUCCAUCUGAUGAAACGUAUUGGUUUUGCAUUGAAGAGGAAGUUAAUGUGCUUAACUUCUGCAAGUUGGGGUGUGCGUCGUCUGUGUGCAACAACAUCAACGCUGGUAAGCACCUUUUGCUCAGACGGAGAAAACAAUAAUCAUUAAUUAGCGGCAGCUAGAAUCCUAUAAUCUAAUAUAUUUAUAUAUAUAUAUAAUUUUAUCAGCUCUGGGAAAUGAAGAGGCGAACGAUGCCGUUGAGAGUUGCGACCAAGCCUGCUCUAGCUUCUGCAACGUGCACGUUGGCGCUGCCACCGUGGUUGCUUAAGCAAAUGCAUCCAACUGGAUCGUCCUUGUGCUAAAUAAUUGGAUAUCGUAUCCACUUAAAGCUGCCUUGUGUAGUACGUUUUUGUUUGUGUCUCUCUUUAUAUUCCAAUAAGGUCGGUGAUCUUGAUGCCACACACUCAGACGUGUGUUCAUCUCCAGAUACUACUCCAUGCUACCUGCCCUUUGUGUUUUGUUCAAUAACUGGGUAUCAUAUCCCAGCCAGUGUGCCAUCUGUUUUGUGUUUAUUUCCUUCUAGUUUCAAAGGGGUUAUCAUGAUGUUAC
Molecule: long non-coding RNA, 83112 nt
Filed under: Setaria viridis
Lineage: Eukaryota; Viridiplantae; Streptophyta; Magnoliopsida; Poales; Poaceae
Description: long non-coding RNA (SVIR_LNC007217)
Source: RNAcentral